RNAcentral lists this long non-coding RNA (88281 nucleotides) under Ananas comosus (pineapple). Its description in RNAcentral is "long non-coding RNA (ACOM_LNC012258)". The record is from RNAcentral. Lineage: Eukaryota; Viridiplantae; Streptophyta; Magnoliopsida; Poales; Bromeliaceae.
UCAAUUUUCGUGAUUUUCAGACUUCUACGCCGCAAGUUGCGACGACCUGUACUAACUUAACCCGUUUCCUCAAUUUCUCCUCGCACGCUCGUCGUAUCGCCGAACCGAGCGCACCAACGCGUUCGUUGACCUACAAAUUAGGUUAAAAUGAGAUCAAACCAAAGCUUCGAUCUCAAAAUUUCAAAACCCUAAGUAUAGGUCCUUACACAAUGUUAUCUUCCCGAAACUAGUCCCUAACAUGGAUAAUCAUGGGGGAAAACACUAUAGAAGCUCCUAGAUGCUUCAACUAGAAACAAACAACAAAACCCUAACUCAAAUCCAUAGAAACUCACCUUGGAGUCUUAAGUUUUCCUUCAAAGCUCUUGCGCAAGCUAGCCUUCACCUUGAAAAGCUUCUUUUCCAAGCUUUUCACCUCCCAAGCCCUCCUUGCUCCAAGCUCUAGAGAGAAGGAGAGAGAGAAAGAGAGUUUUAGAGAGAGAGAGAGGGAUGCCCUAGAUAUUAGAAUGAGAGCAAAUGAGCUCUCCCUCAAUACCAUUCACUUCUAUACACCCCUCUCAUGUGACAUUUACACAUAAACCCCUCAACCUUUCAUUUUUCCAAACAGCCCUCACUGGGCAUUUUUCGCAUAUGGGGACCGGUCUCUCCUCGCAGGGACCGGUCCCCGAGAGCACACCUCUCAGGACUUAGCCAAAUUUCUAUUUUUUUAGGGACUGACUACGCGCACGGGGACCGAUCUCUCCACCAGGGACCGGUUCCCGAGAGCAACAUUUUCACAACUUAGCCAUUUCCCAACCUUUUCACCAACAGGGACCUGUCUCUCCCCACAGGGAUCGGUUCCCGUAGCCUGGUUUUCCAGGACUUAGCCGAUUCUCCAGCUUUCUGGGCAGGCUACGCAUACAGGGACCGGUCUCUUCUCCAGGGACCGGUUGCCGAGAGUCCAAAAUCUGGGACUUAGCCAGAUUUUGCAAUCUCACUCUCUCGGGUCCCUUUACACUACAUGUAGGUUCCAAUGCACUUAGAACCCAUACCAACUCGUUCCACUCCGCGUUCCGCACAUUUCGACGGAACUCGACACGACUUACGGGGAAGUGAUAUAUUACAGAAGUGGUUGGUCGACCGGAGCUUGGCCAAAGGCGGUCGGGGAGCACACGGCGCACGAGUUUGAGGCAGGAGGGGCGGCUGGGAGUCAGCUGGAGCUAGGGCUAGGGUUUUCCUCCAUGAAAACCCUAGUUAGCUCAAAAUAUAUAAGGUGACAACUUGCAGUUUAGCCCACCAAAGAUCGAUAUUUUCAGCUGAGUCCCUCACAGCGCGAGCAAAUUGCACAGAUAUAUAGGGUGUUUUGCAAAAUUACCGUUUCACCGCUAAUGACCCCUCCUCGAUCAACGCGCGAUAUCAGGAGAUCCGCCCGUCGGAUUUUCGAUCGGAUCGGUACAUACAAUAUAGGGUGUUUUGCAAAAUUACCAUUUAAGAAGCCAUCUCCACUGAUUGGCCUCUCCGAAAAAUCAAAAUUACUAUUCACUUUAAGUGAUUAGUAAAGGUCGCGUAACUUCUCCAUUCUAACUCGUUUUCUUCUGAAACUUGACGAGUAUUUAUGUAAUUAAAUUGCAUACAAAAACAUCGUCAACAGAGAAUUUAGCAACACUGCCAAAUCUCAGUCCUCACAAAUAGCCAUUAUUAAGAGUUAAAUACAUUCAAAUUAAUUUUACUAAAGAUCACCAGAGGCUUCGACUAUCCUGAUUUGGCAAGGAUGAAAUAAGGCGAGCUCGGAGAUAUGUUUAAAAUUAAAAAUUUAAAAUUCGAAUAGAACCACACAAAGGGAAUUUGGAUGAAUAAAAAGUUCGAGAGAGAUUUUGGAAAGGGAAGAUAAUGCAUCACAAAAGUUACUCUGAUUAUCGCAACAGAGGAAUUAGAGAAAAGAAAGAAGUAUAUAAAGAAAAGAGUUCGGAGUCAUCACAUUUGACAUGUCCUUCAGCUGUAUCCUAAGAGCAGGUGUAACAUAAUUUAGUAGUCAUAAUUUAGAAUUCAUCGUCCUUGAACUAUCAUCUAACUUGACGACAAGUGUGUUGAUCCAGUCCGACCAUCGUCAGUCCACCUCAUACCUCAUCAACAAAUGCAUCUCCACAUUUUGUGCCUCUGCCAUGCACAAAUCCUUGUGACGAAAGUCGGCCCAAAUCGGUAACUUUUUGUUAGUUUGCUUUCGGUUCACUGGCCGAACCUUGAGAGGUCGUGUUGAGCUAAUUACACUGGGCCUAUUUGUUACUUGGGCCUUGCUAUUUGGGCUAUGUACUUUGGUGAAUAAAAAAUCUCCUAUUUCUAUGUUUUAUUAUUAUGUAUGUGGGCUCUCUAUUUGUUAGCCUUUGGAUCAUGGUUCUUUUGAUCUAAAGGCCCAUAUUGAUAGCUUCUCUGAAGAGCUAAAGUGAAAUAUUAGAAUAUUAGAGAGAAAAGAAGAGUGAGAAGUAGAGAGUGAGAAAAAAAGUGGGAGAAAAGAGAGGAAAUCCUAGAGGUUGGUUUUGAUCUUGGUUUUAUCAGGAAGGACGAGAAAUCUUUAUUAGUGAGAUGUGGUUUAUACUAUUUGGAUAGAGCUAGAGAUUGUUAGAGCUCUUUUUAUACCUUAGAGUUAAGGUGAUAUUUCUCUCAUUUGAAUCUAUCUUGUAAUCUUCAAGUUUGUAGUGAAAGCUUCUUUUGUAUUAUUCUCCCAUAAAUGUAGGCAUAGCUGAACCACGUAAAUCCUUGUAUUCUCAUGAUUUUGUUUAUUUUCUUAUUGCUCUUGUGAUUGGCUCUCCAUUAGAUGCUUGUAGAAAGUGGGUUGUGAAAUUGCCCACCAAGUGUUUGUGAAAUUACCAUCAAUAUUUUUCACCCUCAUUUUACACUAAUUGGUAUCAAAGCUUGAUUGCUAGCUAGUUAUCUAAGCAUUCAUUUGUGUUUAUUCACUUAUCUUUCAAAUGGAAAAGGCUAUAGAAUUUGAGAAGUUGAAUGAGAGCAACUGGCCUAUAAGAAAAUCAUGAUAGAGGAUUAUUUAGUUGCAAAAGAGCUUAAUUUACCAAUAUUGAUAAAAGGUGCAAAGUCCACUAGUAUGGAUAAUCAUGAAUGGGGUAUUCUUGACCAAAAUGUUUGGCGACAAUUAGGCCAUGCAUUUCUCCAUCGAUCUUGUUUGAUGUCUAUCAAUGCAAGACCGCUUUUGAGUUGUGGGAGACUUUGGAGCAAUUGUUUGCGCAACCUUUCGCUGUGAAAAAGAUGCAUGCAAUGAAGAGACUCUUUCUCUUGAAGAUGCAAGAGGGUUCUACUAUUCAUAAGCAUGUGAGUGAGUUUCAACUCUAUUGCGGCACAAUUGAAGUCUAUUAAAAUUAACCAUGAUGAAGAAGUCCUUUGUUUACUAUUUUUAAGUUCUUUACCUUCAAGUUUGGAUACUCUUGUUACUAUAGUGGCAAACGCAAAGGGAAACAAACUCAAGUGGACUGAUAUUGUUGCUUCAUUGUUGGAUGAGGAAACUCACAAAGCCACAAAUCAAUUGUCUAAUGAUUUGAGUCAAGCACUAAUUAUUGAUGAAAGAGAAAGGUCACCGAAGCGAGGCCAAUAUUCUAACACAAAGGGAAGGUCUUAAAGUAAAGGAAGAUCAAAAUCACAAGGUAGAAAGCUCACUUGUUGGCAUUGCAAGAAAACGGGCCAUGUGAGAAAGGAUUGUUAUGUUUUGAAAAAUAAGCAAAAGGAUAAAGGCAAGGAUGUCAAGAAGGAAGCUAACAACACUUUGGAUGGUAAAGAUGGAGUCACAUUAAGUGUUGCUUGCACAGUCUCUUCUUGUGCAAACACUUGGGUUUUGGAUUCUAGUGUUUCUUUUCAUAUAUGUUCGGACUGAUCUUAUUUUUCUACAUAUGUAAGGUGAUGAUUCAAAUUUGGUGGUUGGUACCGCAAGAAAAGGCGAAAAUAUGCAAGUUUAGCAUAAUUGGUUUGGUCAACUAAGUGAGUGCAAGUUUGGCAUAAUUGGCUUGGUCAACUAAGUGAGCAUGGUAUGAAGGUAUUACAAGAACAUAACCUUAUUCCUUCCUUUGAGCAUUCAUUUCUUGAUUUUUGUGAACAUUGCAUUAUGGGAAAACAACAUAGAUUUAACUUUAAAAUAAAUAAAAUGCAUAGAAAGGGGAGGUUAUUGGAAUUGCUUUAUUCCGAUGUUUGCAAUCUUUUCAAUAUUAAGUCACUUGGAGGUGCAUACUACUUUGUUUCUUUCUUAGAUGAUUAUUUUAGAAAGUGUUGAAUUUAUCCUUUGGCUUCAAAAGAUCAAUUUUUUCAAACUUUUUAGAACUUCAAAGGCUAUGUUGAAAAGGAAAGUGAACAUUUUAUUAAGUACUUGCAAACUGACAAUGGUCGUGAAUUUUGCUCUAGUGCCAUUGAUGAUUUUUGCUUUGAAAAUGGCAAAAGAGUGAAGACCGUUCCCUACACCCCUCAACAAAAUGGGAUUAGUGAAAUAAUGAACUGAACUAUGCAUUGUGGAGCAGAUUUGAAGUAUGUUGUCUCACUUCGGCCUACCAAAGUCUUUUUGGGCUGAAGCGGCAAAUACGGCCGCUUACUUGAUUAAUAGAUCACCUAGUGUUGCAUUAGACGUAGACAUUCUAGAAAUUAUACGGAGUGGCAAAGACAUUUUCUAUGGGCACUUGAGAAUAUUUGGGUGUGAAGCUUACAUUCAUAUUCCAAGAGAAAGUAGAACUGUUAGUGUAUAUAUUCAAAAAAAUAGAGGUUAGCCACAAAAUAAUAUAAAAAGUGUCAACGAGUCGAUCAAGCCGAGGCACAAAAAUCUCGCUCUCUUUAAUGAGAUUCAAGCCCUUUGCGGUUGGUAAAAGCUUUGAACCGAUGCAACAGAACAUUGACUUGUCCCACCAGGAUACAAUGGCUCGACCCUCGUCGUGUGGCUUCACCAACUCUGCAUAAGUGGAUGAGCCCAAAGCUCCACCAAAAGAACACCUUUUUUUGACCUUCUCUAUCUAUCACAAGAAUAGAAAUAACUUAUUAUUUUUCGUUGUUCUGUUGUGUUGUAGAGAAUAGAGAAGCCCUCUAUUUAUAGGCUUCAAAAGAGUAGGAGUUAUAGGUAGUAAACUUGUAAGGUAAUGGAUCCUCGUCGUGUUAAAUGACUUUUGGUCAAAAUGACCAAAGCGUGGCGAGAGAGAUGGUUGGACAUGGUCCAUACGACAUUCCAACAAUGUUGGAAGGGUUAAAGUUGAGUUCCAAGUGAGACUAAUGAGUUUUAGUAUUGUUCGGUACGAAAUGGAGCUAAAGCAUUGUCAAAACUGCAGUCUCGGCACUGCGUACCGAUACUGAGAAAGAGGUACCGGUACCAAGAAGGCAACCCGAGAAGGUUGCUCUCGGGUUUGGUUGCUGCCGAGCUGGGUACCGGUACUGGAGACCGCGUAUCGGUACUAGGGUACCCGCGUACCGAUACUCCAGCCCGUGUACCGGUACUCGGCAGUCUACGCAGAUGUCUGCUCUCGGGUUUGGUUGGCCACCCGGGGUACCGGUACUCAAUCCCGCGUAUCGGUACCCAGUGCUGCGAACAACAGACUUAGAACUGUUGCAAUUUUAGAUUGUUGGAGGGUCUAAAUUAGGGCUGUAAACAAGCCUAGCUAGAGCGAGCUGGAGCCAGCUCGAGCUCGGCUCGAACGUCUUCAAGGUCGGCUCGUGUUCGGCUCGAGCUUGUGACAAGCUCGAAAACUCCGGCUCGUGAUCGGCUCGCAACUUAAUCGAGCUAGCUCUUAUUCGGCUUGUUAGCGCUGUUGUCGAAGUUCGCUGCCGCUGCCGUUGUCGAAGUUUGCUGCCGCUGCUGUUGCCGUUGUCGAAGUUCGCUGCCGCUGCCGAAGUUCGCUGCCGGGGGUUUGCGAACGGCUAAGAAUCCGCUGUCGAGGGUGUGCGAACGGCAAAAGUGCGCUGCCGGCGAGCCGCCCACCGAGGGUGUGCAACAUGUGUGAAGUGAAGUGUGGCUGAGAGAGAGAGAGAGAGAGAGAGAGAGGGGGGGCAGAAGGCGGCUUGCUGUGUGAAGGGUGAAAAAGUUGGGAAAAGAGAACUAGGGUUAGAAAUAUAGAGAGUUAAAAGUUGAUGUAACAUUAUCCAUUAGAUUUUAAUCUAACGGUUGAAAUUAUAAAUGUAAAUAGGCCUCUUUUAUAGAUAAGUUGGGCUUUAUUGUUAAAUUGGGCUACAAACUAAAAAAUAAUAAUCUGGGCUACAAACUACAAAAUAAUAAUAUAUAUUAUAUAUUUAUAUGCAAAUAUAUUUAUAUAUUUAUAUAUAUGAAUAUAAUAUAUAUAUAUAUAUANNNNNNNNNNNNNNNNNNNNNNNNUUAGGUCGAGCGACAAGCGCUCGGUCGAGCACAAGUCGAGCUUUACUCGAGCUCUAGCCGAGCGAGCAAAUCAUUUGCUCGGCUUGUGGUCAACCUAAAAAGUCGAGCAAAUUAUUUGCUCGGCUUGUGCUCGAUCCCAGUCGAGCGAGCACAAGCCGAGCUGUUGUCGAGCUAAUAUAAAUAAAAUAUAAUUAUAUUAAAUAUAUAUAUAUAUAUAUAUAAUAUAGCCACCCUUAGUCUAAAUGCAAUUGUGUGAACAUAUAAAAGGACCCCAUCUCCCCCUUUCUUGUUCACAAGCUGAGAACACCCCUCAACUCCAUUUUUUCCCCUCUCUUUCUGUGGAAGCUCUUCUCCAAGGGUGCUUGGUGGAGAUUGGAGGAUAUUUGAAGGAGAUUUGAGGCUUUUUAAAGUGAAGAGCUCCCCUACAAGGUGGAGCUUGUGGUGUUCAUAGGCUAAGGUGAGGUUUCUUGCAAGAGCCAUGUUAGGGUUUGGUUUUAUACCCUAGAACACUUGGUUUUGAUCUUCUUACAUGAAGGAAAAUCUUGAGGAAACCAUGGAAUCACAUGAUGAACCCAUGUUGUUCAUGCUAUGGAAACUCUAGGGUUGAAAUUGGGGUUUUCAUAGAUAUGAGGUUUAUAGUUAAUUGACCAUAUGGAAACCUAAUUGAAGGUAAAACCGACACGGUGGGCAACUCAAACCGAAGUUCCUACGGGCGUGCGGCUAGUUCUUGGGAAAAAGUACCAUUUUGGCUUCGUUUGUGUUGGGUCGAGCUCGAACGGUGUUGUAAAAUCGCGAGGCUUGGUUUCUCGCCUCUUAGCAUCAAACCAAGGUAGGGGGUGCUAUCCAGAGCAAUCGAACUUCUUCCUAUGUCCAAGUUGUAUUGUUGAGCAUACAUUUUAUAUAUGAUAUCUUGCAUUAUAGGAUGUGUUCAGUAAUUGUAUUUCCAUCCCCUUGCAUGCUUCUAUGGUAGUAAUAGAAAUUGUGGGUUGAACACAUAAUCUAGCGGAUGCAUGAGGAUUGGGUUGUGACAUUGAAUCCUGUAGUGACAAGAACAAGUAGUGAACUUGGACAAUAUAUUUAUGUAAAUGAGUGGCAUGUAGGGGUGUAAUGUGGGCCGUGCCGGGCCGGCACGGCCCACAUUUUCCGGGUCGAACCGGGCUGGAGAGUGGCCCGGCACGGCACGUGGCUAAAUCCGGGCCGGGCCGUGCCGGGCCCGAACUCCCUACCAUCCGGCCCAGCACGGCCCCUGGGCCUGGAAGGCACGGGCCGUGCCGGGACGGGCCGUGCUCCGGGCCGCCUCCUUUUUUUUAUUUUUUUAAAAAUGUACGUAUAAUUUAAAAAAUAUAAACAAUAAAUUAUAUUUAUAUAAACUGAUAUUUUGAUUAAAAAAAAAAAGUUGAGAAGGGUUUUUGGUCCAAUGGACAAAAUUGCUUUGGUCCAUUGGACCAAAAUCACGCCUCCCAAGGUCUGCUAGGCAGACCUUAGGAGGAGCUCUCCUUGGGAGGAGGGCCAAGCCCUCCACCCAAGGAGAGCAAACCCCAGGGCCAAGGCAACUUUGCCUUGGGCCUGGGUUCCGGGCCGUGCUGGCCCGGCUGGCACGGCCCAAGCUCUCCUUGGGAGGAGGGCCAAGCCCUCCACCCAAGGAGAGCAAACCCCAGGGCCAAGGCAACUUUGCCUUGGGCCUGGGUUCCGGGCCGUGCCAGGCCGUCAGGCUUCAAAUGUAAGGCCCAACACGGCACGAAGUGCCUGCCGGGCCCGGCCCAGCCCGGGUGCUACAGUAGCCGUGCCGGGCCGGGCGGGCCACGUGCCGCCCGGCCCGUUUUACACCCCUAGUGGCAUGUGAACUAAUGUGGUAGAGGCACUUAAACAUGAUUGCAUAAACAAGUGGCAUAUGAUCUAGUGUAGUAGAGACACUUGCAAAACAUAUUGACAUGAAUGAGUGGCAUUUGAAUUUAGUGUAGUAGAAACACUAUGACAUGAACAUAAGGAUAGUUGAUUUCCCGAGUUGCCAAUAUAGUAUUUGAAUCUAGUGUGGCAGAAGCACUAUGACCCUUGUAGACAGGGUAUCCUCAGUAGACGAGAAUUGGAUCAUACUCAUUUAGUCUGUUUUCGCUUGGGGUGGUCGCUCCACACAAGCAGUGAGCUCCGGAGUCGUCAUACUAGGGGCAGAAGUAGUUGUCCCGCAGACGGUCUCGGUGUGCGAGCGCAGAUUCUCCUCACCUAUGAGAUUGAGAGUGAGUCGAGGGUUAAACCUUCGGGUUAGCCAAGUGGAUUGGGUAACAAAUAAAUGAAUGGCAUAGUAGAUCGUGCAUUCAUAUCAUGACAUGAAACAUAGAGACAUGUUAGUAGAGUCUCCUAGAUAUGUUCAUAUCUUUAUUUAUGAUAUUGUUGAAGUAUAGUAGCAUGAUAGUCGAAUUCAUAGCUAUGUAGAAUUAUCAUUCAUUAUACCAUGUUGAUUGAGGCAUAGUAGCAUGAUAGUAGAAUUCUUACUAUGCCAACAGUUUCUUUAUCAUAUCUAUCUAUCUAUCUACUCAUACUUGCUUAGACCUAGUGGGAAGAUCGGCGGAGUCGGCGGCCGAACCUACUGGGAACUAUUCGUAGUUCUCAUCCCACUUUGUUGCAGGGCCUAGUGAGGCCGGACUAGCGGUUGAUCGCGGUAAGGGCAUAGCGCCCUAGCUAGUAGCAGCUUUCCUAUUUGCAUUAGACUACUUUUUGUACAUGAGAGAUGUGAUGUAUAUUUGGUGAGGAUGCUUUUGGAGAGUUGUGGAUGUAUAUUGCCAUGAGAUGAAUAUGUAAAUCAAAGAUGUGUCCAUUUUGAAGAUGUAAACUCAAUAUGAAUGUGGAUGAAAAUGUAAUAGAUAGUUUACACUCUUUUGCUCUUGCUUGUAUCAUACUUGCAAUGAUUCAUGUAUGUGGUUAAAGUUUACCUGGGCAACUUGAUAUACAUGAUUGUUGUUAUUGAGCCUUGGGCGGACAGGGGAGGUUCUGUCCGCUCGGCGUCUGUUUGACGUACCCCAACCGACCAAAUUGGCAGUUACGGAGCGUGGCAAAACUUAAGUUGUAGGUUAAGGCUUUGGAGUUUACAAAAGUAAAUGUGCUAACGUAAACUCAUUCGAUGUAGGUACAGUAUAGGUUAAAAAAAACUUACAUUGAAUGCAAGUAAAUUUAAAGCAUAGGUUAUCAUUCUUGUAACUAUAAAUGUUAGAGUAUAGGUUAUGUCAUCUUCAUGCAAGGGUUAUAAAAUUUAAAAUUCACAUUUAAUAAUAAAAAUAUAACAACAUUCCCCCACUCGUUUUUAUUAUUAAAAAUAUGUAAGAGUUUGAUGGCCAAAGAGGAACCACUAUACAUAAUGAAGGUAUGCUCUACAUUGAACUUUUACUUAGUGAAACAGUAAUCUCUACUCCAGAGUCAAAGUGGUCUCAGACUUGAACUUUGAUUGCUUAGGGGAAAUAGAGAGUCACUGCUCACAUAUAACAAUCCAGAUGUAGACAUGAGCUUUAAUAGCUAGCACAUUACGGCCUUGUGCUGAUCCUGGUUUUCAUGAGCAUUUUUGAGAAUAAGCCCGUUCUCAUAGAAAACAGCCUCACUUCCAUGCUCACAUAGGUGAAAUCCGUCAAGGGUGCUCCUGUAAUUUUGACACCCUGCUCGUAAAAGGCACAGAUUUCAUUAAGAGUAAAAACUCAACCCUCUUUUCAUUACAGGAUGAAUGCACCCACACCAUAGGGAUAAGUAAAGAUAUGAUCAUAUAGAUCUAUAUAUUGUGCAUUCUUUACGACCACCAUAUGAUUUGUUUUUUUUUCAUUGAACCCAAUUUUCAGGAUCUCUGAUCAUCGGGUUGGGUAUCCUCAUACAUGGUUCAUAAUGUUAUGGGCUUCAACCCCAUCCCCCUCGAUGUGCUCCAGAUCCUUUCUCUUUCCAAGGCAUUGGUUAAUGUAUCUGCCAGAUUAUCAGUAGAUUUAAUAUAAUCUACACUGAUAAUACCAUUGUUCAUAUAUGAUCUCACAGUACUAUGUUUUCUUCUCACGGAUCUGGAUUUACCGUUAUAAUAACGAUUUCUUACUCUACCAAUAGCAGCAGUGCUAUUCAAUGUAUUAACACAGAUGGAACUGGUUUUCCCAUAAAUGGAAUCUCAGACAAUAAGUCUCUCAACCAACUAGCUUCCUCGCUAGUUGAAGCUAAGGCAAUUAGCUCGGCUUCCAUAGUUGAGUUAGCAAUGAUAGUUUGCUUUUUAGAUUUCCAACAUAUAGCACUACCUGUUAAAGUAAAAAUAUAACUAGUGGUAGAGAGAGAAUCACCUGAUAGGGUAUUCCAGUCAGCAUCACUGUAACCCUCAAUCACAGCAGAAUACUUUUCAUAAAACAAGACAUAAGUUUUGGUACCAACGAGAUAUCUCAUUACACGUUCCAUGGCAUGCCAAUGCUCUGUACCCGGCUUGUUUGUAAAUCUACUAAGUAUCCCUAUUGCGUACGCAAUAUCAGGUCUCGUACAAUCAGUCGCAAACCGCAAGCUCCCAAUCAUACUAGCAUAUCCCUUUUGAUUCAAAAUUUUAUUUUCACUUUUAAUAGAAAAUAAGUGAACACUCGAAUCAAAAGGUGUAGUCACAUGCUUGCAAUUAAGAAAGUUGUACUUUCUUAAAAUUGUCUCAACAUAAUGCGACUGAUCAAGAAAGAUCCCAUCUAGUGUUUUGGUAAUUUUUAUACCCAAAAUAAAGUUAACCUCACCAAGAUCCUUCAUUUCAAAAUAAUAAUUUAGCAUAAUUUUUUUCUCAUUUAUAAUAUUUAAGUUAGAGCCAAAAAUUAGCAAAUCAUCCACAUAAAGGCUAACAAUAACAUGCAAAUUUUCAAAAGUUUUGUAAUAGAUGCACUUAUCACACUCGUUUAAUUUAAAGUCAUUCUCAAUCAUGCAAGAACCAAAUUUUUCAUGCCACUGUCUAGGUGCCUGCCUUAAGCCAUAAAGGGAUUUAUUUAGCUUGCACACUUUAUUUUCUUGUCCAGACUCAAUGAACCCUUCAUGUUGGUCCAUAUAAAUUUCUUCAUCUAGGUCACCAUUCAGAAAGGUAAUCUUUACAUCCAUUUGAUGAAUUUGUAAGUCAUGAAUUGCAGCAAUAUCAAUCAGAACUCUGAUGUAUGUCACUCUAGUCACCAGAGAAAAGGUAUCAAAGAAGUCUAGAUCUUCUUAUUAUUUAUAACUUUUUGCGACAAGUCUUACUUUAUACUUGUCUACAUUCCCAUCCGGUUUCAAUUUCUUUUUGAGAACCUAUUUACAACCAAUUGUUAUAUAGUUUGGAGGUAAAUCCACCAAUUUCCAUAUUUUAUUAGAAAUUAGGGAUACCAUCUCAUCAGAUACAGCCUCUUUCUAAAAAAUUACAUCAUUUGAAGAUAAAUCUUCUUAUAAAGAAAGUGGAUUUUCUUCAAUAUUCAUAAUAACAUAAUCACUGCCAAAAAUUUUUUCAAUUCUGUUUCGCUUGCUUCUUCUUGGUUCAAAAAUAUUUUUUUUUCUUGAUUUUGCAAAAAGGAGUUUGAAGAACUUGAUUUAUUUGAAACACUUUUAAAUCCCCACUAUUUUUCAAUUUAUAAGGAAACUUUUCUUCAUAAAAAAUAGAAUCUUUUGAUUAAAAAAUCACAUUAUUUUCAAUGUCUAAAAAUCUAUACGCUGUACUGUUCAAAGCGUGUCACACCCCGAGCUCCGCCAAUUUGGUCGGAUUCGGGCACGCCAACAGACCGCCGAACAGACAGAGUUUCUCUUGUACGUUCUAGGCGUCACAAUCCAUACAAUACACGAGGUUCCAACCAGGAACAGUAUUCAAACACAGAUUGCAUAAGGUAUCGAAAACAUAAUUGCUAUGCUAUUACAAGUAUUCAUCUCAAAUUUUCAUUUUACAUUACAUUCAACUUCCAAAUACAAUCGAUAUUAUUACAAAUUAUUACAAGUCUGUUUCUUUUCAUUUCCACCCCUAAACUAGACCACUUCUGGGUACCACUAUCUCUGGUCAUAAUGGUAGGGCGCUAUCUACGGAGCUACGCCCUUUUCUCGCGCCGCCGCGCCGCUCGCGUUUGAACCUGAAAUUCCCCAAAACAACGUGGGAUGAGAACUAUCUCCAUAGUUCCCAGUGAGUACGGCCACCCAAGGGAGAAGCUCAAUCCACCAGAUCCAAAGGAGGCACUGCAAACAUGUUAGUCCAACAGAUAUCUAUAGAUAUUUUAUGCAAGUAUCAAAUACAUGCGUAUGCCUCAAGAUAUACAAUAUGUAAAUUAUGCAAUAAUGCAACUCAUGCAACAAGCUAACUAGAUUAUCUGGUUCUACUUUCUAUCUCGCAAUCCAUAGCUCAUAUCCAUCUAGCUUCUAAGGUUUCUACUACCGUAGAUCCAAGUUAACCACCCGACUCGGCCUUGAGUCAAUCAUCUACGGAAUACCGCAUAUAGCCAGGCUCGAGGUGAAGGACGUCUCACAUGAAUCUCAGCCUUAAAUCCACUCAACAGGGACGCACAUCCACUCAACUGGGAUGCCAACUGGGAUGCAAUUCUACUGAUAUGCUUGUCACCCAAUCAUUCCAGCUUACCCGAAGGUCUGGACCCCGUAGGUCCAGAUAGCACAAAAUUCAGCAUUUUAGCCUUUUGCCAAUUCUCGUCCGUUUUGCUUCGUUUUCACUCGUUGGGCUUCCGAUUCAUUUCUAAUCGUACCGAGACCCCCAAAACACGUUUUCGAGCGCGUUUAAACCAUCUUUUCAUCCACGCUUUGUCGGAUUUAGGCCAAAGUGCAAUCAAAGCCUUUCGGAUUCUGUUUUCGCGCCCGGCGCGUACCGAAAACACCUGAAUGCUCUCGAACUUCACCGGAACUGCUUUAACAACUCUUCGAGCAAGUUCCCACCGAAACUUCACAACUUUAGGAGUUCAGUAUAUCACAUUCGCCACCCCUUAAAAGAUGUUUUGUCCACGAAGCUCAAAUCCUACCUCAACUCGAUCACUCGAACAGUUGAGGGCACAAAUGCACUUUCCCACUCCGGAGCGGCCUUACGCUGAUUGGAACUGUCCAAAAGGCCCACUACGAAGGAUGUGAGACCAAACUCACACACAUUUACCAAGUGCAACAUCGAAAGUGCAUUACGCUUUCCGCAAGUCUCGGUGGCAGCGCAAGUAGACAUUCGACGACUCUACACGCUCCAACACCACUCGCAAUCUGGCACACUAAGGCCAUACCAUGCACUUCCUUCGAGAUCGGGACUACCCACCAUCCUCGUGGUGUGGAUCCAACAAGAACGCAUUAGUUAGUCGAAUGGUGCACCACCACGACACAAUACAUACGGUAGACCUCCUCAGAUUACGCAAGUGUUCACAAAGUGGUACUCUACCACUUUGGCUAUCCCUUCAAGGAAUACACUCCGAUUCGAUUACCGGCAUUGCUUAGAAGCAAUAUCAUGAGUGCAUCGCCCAAUCGCGAGUGCUCCAAUCACAACCGGAUCCUUGCUCUAUAGCGAGAUGGCACACCCCGGCACAUCUCAAUUUUCGAUCCAUUAGGGAGCAUUAGUCUCAAAUCCUGCGUGGCUAUCCAUGCUCCAAGUGUCUCCUAAAACCACUUUAUUUUCUUUUCCAAUUGCCACGGCCACACCAGUUCGUCCUUGCAACGAACUCACACGAGCACUCCGUUCAUGAAUCCAAGCCAAACUCCUCGAUAGAGUUAUCGGCCAAACCGCUUAUCUCGGGUUCCACAAGUGGACCAAAGGUCACCAACCCUACGUAGGCCUACCACCUAAACCUGUCUCAACAACACAUAGCGUCUCUCGCUCACACCCAAUCAUCACUGGGCGAAAUUCUCACUUGGGAAUUCGCACACACUCCAAUCAGGAGCAACCAAGACCCCAAACUACUACAAAUCCUCAGGUUGGAUCACAACUGCACUCUUGGUGCAUCAUCGAUUACACGAUCUAACACGUGGCAUUCCACGCACCCGGGUUCAAGCUCGGACUACCGCCCCGACCAAACCCCUGCCCUACCCGUAGGUACCAGGCCGCUGUCACACACAGCUGACUGCGCCUGUCCAUAAGGCCCCAGGCUCUGCAGUCCACGAAUGGUCCAGGCAUGGAUCGUCUUCAAGCAAUACCCGCAACCGUCGUCUCACACGACACACUCUACCGAGCUACACGUACCACUACCGACUCCUAAGCACCUAAAGCCAUUAACCCUACGAGUGAUCCAAUGCACGCACAACUAGCAAUACUCAAGUGCUACUGCCAACACACUCUCCCGGCUGAGUUAAACCCGCACUCCACGAGUAUCUACACUCGAGGGCUCUAUACGCCUCUACAGCGUUCCACACUAAGUCCAGCAUUAGGCAAUCUUGCCUAUGCAUACCGGCUACACGAGCACGACCCACCUACCUCAAUUCGAGGUACUAAUAGGCCCACGUGCCCGCACUUGGCCACUAACUAGCCGUUCUCUCAACAGUGAUUCCACUUUCACUGUUCGAUCUACCGGAACAACGUCCGAAAUUUUCAGACUGCCAAGAGAUCCUCAAGUACUAUGGCUCAACUCUCGCAAUCAAUUACUCACUUUGCUUUGAGAGUCAGUCCGCCAAUUCCAUCUCUUCCACAAGUCCCACCAUUAGACCAUAACCAGCAAUUCGCUAGUGUCAUCUAAUCCUCUACCUGCUCUAGUAGGCGCUACACUCUUGCAACGCAAGCAUGCCCGAGUAUCUAUACCUACCCGUCCACUUGGUCCCUACUAUACUAAUAUACAAUUAGUAGUAAUCGACCACAUGAUAAAUGCAUGCAAUGCACCAACUUUACAUCAUGCCAAAGCAUAUGCUUGCCUCAACUAAAUCAUACUUGCCACGACGUCGUCGGUAGCAGCAAGCUCCACAACCUAGGUCCCGUAUCCAUGGCCACUUGGCGCCCGCCGCGAACCCUCCGGUUAUAUCGUCCUUAACACCCGCUCUUCCGACCACACCGCAGGUGGCACACCUGCAGGCUGUCCCGGAGAGGAAAAGGCCAUCACUAGUGUCAAGGCCCAGCUAUCUCCAUGCGGACACUCGUCCCGCGCAUGGCCCGGUUGCCCACACCUGUAGCAUUUGCCCUCUCGCUGCUCACACUGUUGUGGGUAAUGAGGACCCCCACAAAUAACACAUCUUGCCGAGGAUCGAGUGUGGUAGAUCCCCGGGGCUCGGGAUCGCGAGUGCGAACACAUCGAAGUUUGUUAAGAACUUGACUGACCAGCGGAUCCACUUGUUGGCCGUCUCUUUCCCUUGUAAUAAGACUCGCGCUCGUCCCGCACAAAUGCAUUGCUUUGUUCUAUCCACAAGGCCCAAUCCAAAACUUCGGCAAAAGUCUGCAACUUAAGAUUGUGCACAGCUUUGAAAAUGUCCGGCCGAAGUCCCCACACAAAGCAAUCAGCUCGGUCUUUGUUAUCCCGCACCACGUUCGGGACACAAUUCACGAGACGGGAGAAUUCCCGCUCAUAUUCCCUAACCGAGCGGUCUCCUUGCCGCAGCUUCCGGAACCUCUCCUGAAGCUUUUUCUUUUCACUAUUGGAAAAAUAAGCAGAGAGUAUCAAUCCCCGAAACUCAUCCCAAGUCAUAGGAGGCAGAUUAGGCGAUCGGUUCUGCUUGACGCCUUUUCACCACACCUUCGCUGACUGUUGCAGACAAUACACGGCUAGGUGUACCUUGCCCCACUCCACAGUGUACAAAUCCUCAAAAAGAGUCUCCAUAGAGUCGAUCCACAACUACACGGUCCACGGAUCUACAUCCUUUCCAUCAAAGGUAGGCGGAUCAAACAUCUUGAAGGUCAUGAGGGCCGCCAAAGCUCGCUCCCUCUCCACCUCUACCUCUGAAGUUCUAGAAGCCGGAUUGCCCGACCCCGACGGAAACACCUCCGCCACGACUCCCAGCCAUACUCGACGGGCCGCAACUGGUGCGGUCACCAGCUGAUCAACCAUUUCUUGGAGUUUUUUAAUUUGCUCCUCCUGGCGCAUGGCAGCUUCCUGCUGUCGCUGCACCAAAUCGGCCUAUUGCCUCAUCACUCCCACGAGUGUGGCCAACUGGUCGCGAAGUUCCAAGUCUCAGCUCACCUCGGAUUGCUCAGGGACACCACUUGUCCCAUCCCGCGCCGAUCUGGAUGAUGAUCGCCUGCGCGGUGCCAUCACUUCCUGAAACACGACAACUUAGUCAAUCUUCGACCCUCUGGGUCGAACACGAGACAAUUAACACCUACUCAAAUCGGGCGAAAGUCACGCAAGGGCGUCUAUUCUCAUCUCUCGGCUUCAUGUUGUGUGCACCCAACAUGAACACCCUCGGUUGAGAAUACACCACACCUUGAGUCUACCUCUAACAUCCGUUUUAGAGGUUUACAACACAACCCAAUCCAUUAAUCUUUCGCCGCAAGUCACAAGUCCUCAUCUCUCACGAGCCUUAACCUCUAUGGUUUACUAUCCUAGGGUCUCCUAGGUCCGUCUAAACCAUUUCUAUUAUUCUCUUUAUGUUCUGAUACCACUCAAUCUGUCACGCCCCGAGCUCCGCCAAUUUGAUCAAAUUCAGGCACGCCAACAGACCGCCAAACAGACAGAGUUUUCCCUGUACGUUUUAGGCGUCACAAUCCAUACAAUACACGAGGUUCCAACCAGGAACAGUAUUCAAACACAGAUUGCAUAAGGAAGGUAUCGAAAACAUAAUUGCUAUGCUAUUACAAGCAUUCAUCUCAAAUUUUUAUUUUACAUUACAUUCAACUUCCAAAUACAAUCGACAUUAUUACAAAUUAUUACAAGUUUGUUUCUUUUCAUUUCCACCCCUAAGCUAGACCACUUCGGGGUACCGUUAUCUCUGGUCAAAAUAGUAGGGCGCUAUCUACAGAGCUACGCCCUUUCCUCGCGCCGCUGCACGGCUCGCGUGUGAACCUGAAAUCCCCCAAAACAACGUGGGGUGAGAACUAUAUCCAUAGUUCCCAGUGGGUACGGCCACCCAAGGAAGAAGUUCAACCCACCAGGUCCAAAAAAGGCACUGCAAACAUGUUAGUCCAACAGAUAUCCACAGAUAUUUUAUGCAAGUAUCAAAUACAUGCGUAUGCCUCAAGACAUGCAAUAUGUAAAUUCUGCACUAAUGAAACUCAUGCAACAAGCUAAGUAGAUCAUCUGGUUCUACUUCCUAUCUUGCUAUUUAUAGCUUAUAUCCAUCUAGCUUCUAAGGUUUCUACUACUGUAGAUCAAAGCUAACCACCCGACUCGGCCUCGAGUCAAUCAUCUGCAGAAUAUCGCAUAUAGCCAGGCUCGAGGUGAAGGACAUCUCACAUGCAUCUCAGCCUUAAAUCCACUCAACAGGGACGCAUAUCCACUCAACUGGGAUGCCAACUGGGAUGCAAUUCUACUGAUAUGCUUAUCACCCAAUCAUUCGGCUUACCCGAAGGUUAAGCCCCGACUCACAACCCAAUCCCGCAUCGUGAGGAGACGUCCGCUACACUCACCCGGGACCGUCUGCGGGACAGCUACGUUAGCCCCUACCGUGAAGUAUUCCGGAGACCACUGCUUGGGUGGAGCGACCGCCGACAAGCGAAACAGACGCAAUGUGAGCAUGAUCCAAUCCUCUAACCCGAGGAUACCCUACCAACUAGUAGUAAUCAAGCCGGGAUAAACACCAAUCCCAAUCCUCAUAUACUGAGUAAUCACAUUGUCUCUAGCUAAUGCCACAAUGUCACAAUGUCUCUAACUAAUGCCACAAUGUCACAAUAUCAUGUCCAAUGCUACUUUCGUUGCCACAAUGUUCCAAGUUCUCUUUAUCAUGACACUAUAGAGUUUCCAUGUCCACAAUCCAAUUCGCAUACUCUUAGCCACUAGGUAUCUUUUCAUGCUUCCACAUAUACCACAAGAGAAUGCAAGAAUUGAAAUAACCAACAACUACUCUACGAUGCAUGAAUGCUAUACAUGAACAUAUAUGGCCAACAUCUAUCUAUCAUCUAGUAAUGCUAUAGUAUGUCAACAUGCAUAUAUCAUCUAGUAUAUCCUCACAAUGUCAACAUUCAUAUACCAUCUAGCAUAUUCUCACGAUGUCAACAUUCAUUUACUUUGUCAUUCAAUGGUAGCUAAUACAUAUCAUCUCAUGCAUUCACAUGGCAUCCACCUAUGCAUUCAUAUAUGUAAUGAACUACCGCUACAUGCAUCAAUGACAAACCGCUUCACUUUGGCAUGGAAGUGAUCUAAUCACUUCGGUGAAGCACAACCCACCUCGUAACGCUCUCCGAUUGCUUGUAGUCACUUGUAAUCGGGUUCCCGCGGCACGCGUUGUCCGGUUCGGCCCGAACUCGCAAUCGGCAAUCGAACACUCGCCGAUUCUCAACCUAGGGUCAUCAAGAGCUCAUCUCUAACCUUCAAUUAGAGAACAAUAGGAUUAAAAUAGAUCAAAACCCACAUUUGCCCCAAAACCCCAACUUCUAACCCUAACCCCACAUACCCUCCAAAAUCAUGCUAAAUUCAUGGAGGAACAUGUAUAGAAUACACUAGGGAGCUCUAAAUUGCCAUUCAUGAAGGAUUUAAUCAAAUCCCAAACACUUACCAAAAUGCGAACACCGAGUCGAAAGCACACCGCUCCACCGGGCGCACGAAGACUCGAUCCGUCGCUCCCAACGUGUUCCCAAGCUCGCUCUCCGCCAAGCCCGCGAAUUUGAGAGAGAGAUCUAGAGAGGGAAGGUGGGAAGCUAGAGAGAGAGAGGGGCUUCUCUCUAUAUCUCUUGUGUGUGUGUGGUGUGUGUGUGGGCUGAGGAAGAAGGAGGAAGGGGAAGAAGCCCCCUUUAUAAAGCAACCCUCCUACAAUUUACCAAAAUGCCCCAGCCCUCCUGGGCACUUUUCGGGUUCGGGGUCCGGACCCUGGCAACUAGGGUCCGGACCCCGUAGGUCCAGACAGCCCGAAAUUCAGCAUUUCAGCCUUUUGCCAAUUCUCGUCCGUUUUGCUUCGUUUUCGCUCGUUGGGCCUCCGAUUCGUCUCUAAUUGUACCGAGACCCCCAAAACACGUUUUCGAGCGCGUUUAAACCAUCUUUCAUCCACGCUUUGUCGAAUUUAGGCCAAAGUCCAAUCAAAGCCUUUUGGGUUCCGUUUUCGCGCUCGACGCAUACCGAAAACACCCGAAUGCUCCCGAACUUCACCGAAACUACUCUAACAACUCUUCAAGCAAGUUCCCACCGAAACUUCACAACUUUAGGAGUUCGAUAUAUCACAAAGCGUAUCCAAGAAAUACACAAGUGGCUGCUCUAACACCUAAUUUGGGUCUUUUAGGGUCUGGUAGCCUCACAUAUGCUAGACAACCUCACACUUUAAGAUAUUCCAAAUUUGGCUUAUACCCUUUCCACAAUUCAAAGGGUGUCACCUUAGACUUCUUAUGUGGCACGCGAUUCAAGACAUAACAUGCAGUUAAAAUAGCUUCACCCUAAAGGUUUAAGGGUACACCAGUGUCAACUAUCAUAGUAUUUGUUAGCUCAAUCAGUGUUCUAUUUUUUUCUCUCAGCUACUCCAUUAGAGGCAGGCGAAUAUGGAGCAGUAGUUUCAUGGAUAAUUCCUAAAGACUGAACAAAAGUGUUGAAUCCCGUAGAUUCACACUCACGACCUCGAUCACUUUUAAUUCUCUUAAUCUUUUUACUGAAUUGGUUUUCUACUUCAUGUAGAAAAUCUUUAAAUUUGUCAAAAGCAUCACUUUUAUUUUUUAACAAAUAAACAUAAGUAUAUUUAGAAAAGUCAUCGAUAAAAGUGAUAAAAUAUCUAUUUCCUCCAAGAGUUAGAGUACCUUCAAAUUCACAAAUAUCACUGUGAAUUAGCUCAAGUAAUAUGGUACUUCUUUCAAUACUCUUAUGAGGUCGUUUAGUGAUUUUUGCCUUACUACAUUUUCACAUUUGUCAAAAUCACUAUUCAGUCUGGGAAUUAAUCCUAAACUACUCAUCAAGCUAACAUAUUUGUUAUUAAUAUGACACAAACGAGCAUGCCAAAAAUUUAUAGAAGAAAGCAUGUAAGCAGAAGUAGAUAAUACUUUAUUCUCAAUGUUUAGUUUAAAUAUUCCGUCGCAUGCAUAACCUUUACCUACAAACUUUCCAUUCUUUGAAAUCACAUACUAAUCAGACUCAAUGGUCUGUUUGAAGCCAGCUUUAUUAAGAAGAAAACUUGACAUCAAGUACUUCCUAAUCGAGGGUGCAUACAAUACAUCUUUCAAGAUAAGCACCUUUCCAAAAGAAAAUUUUAACUCGACCUCACCACUCCCUAAAACUUCAGAAGUAUGCGAAUCACCAAGCAUAAUAUUUCUUGGUUGUUCAUAGGGAGUAUAUGUUUUAAACCAAGUCUCAUCAUGACAGACAUGCCUAUUGGCACUAGAGUCUACUCACCAUCUUUCAGCAUUCUCCACUAAGCAUAUGUCUGUUAUCAUUGCCCCAAGUGGCUCCUCGGUAACAUUAGCUUGAGGUAAAACUUUACGUUUUCGGAAUUUGCAAAUUCGAGCAAUAUGCCCACUUUUGCAAUAGACAUAGCAAACUAUAUUUUUUACAUUUGAAGGAGGUCCUUGGUCAUUUUUCUUAAAUUGAGGUUUACUAGUAUUCUUUUCAAUUUUCUUCUUAGGCUUCAAGUACGUAUUUCUAGAACGAUUGUUAUUAGGUAAAGAAUUAGAAGAUACUAAGUUUACCUUAGUGGCACUAGCAUCAUUCUCUUUUGCUUCAAGUGCAUCUUGGCCUCUUGCCUCUUCUACCACGCAAAUGCACGCGAUUAAUGUCUAGAGAGACAUCUCCUUUUGCUUGUUGAGAUUUCUAGUUGUAUCGUUGAACUUUUCACGUGUAACCUCCAUUUUUGAAUCUCCUUAAAAUUGUUGGUGUAUAUAUUCAAAAAAUAGAGGUUAGCCACAAAGUAAUAUAAAAAGUGUCAACAAGUCUAUCAAGCCGAGGCACGGAAAUCUCGCUCUCUUUAAGGAGAUUCAAGCCCUCUGCGGUUGGCAAAGCCUUUGAACCGAUGCAGCAAAAUACUGACUUUUUCCCUCUAGAACAAUGGCUCGACCCUCGUCGUGUGGCUUCACCAACUCUGCACGAGUGGAUGAGCCCAAAGCUCCACCAAAAGAACACCUUUUUUUGGCCUUCUCUCUCUCUCUCUCACAAGAAUAGAAAUAACUUAUUAUUUUUCGUUGUUAUGUUGUGCUGUAGAGAAUAGAGAAGCCCUCUAUUUAUAGGCUUCAAAAGAGUAGGAGUUAUAGGUAGUAAACUUAAGUUGUAGGUUAAGGCUUAGGAGUUUACAAAAGUAAAUGUGUUAACGUAAACUCAUUUGAUGUAGGUAAAGUAUAGGUUAAAAAAAACUUACAUUGAAUGCAAGUAAAGUGAAUGCAUAGGUUAUCAUUCUUGUAACCAUAAAUGUUAGAGUAUAGGUUAUGUUAUCUUCAUGCAAGGGUUAUAAAAUUUAAAAUUCACAUUUAAUAAUAAAAAUGUAACAACAAGAACAAAGCUUCAUGUGAAAUCAAGGAAAUAUAUAUUUCUUGGUUAUGGAGGUAAUAAGUUGGGCUAUAGACUUUGGGAUUCCGUUGUUAGAAAAACUAUUUGGAGUCGUGAUGUUGUGUUUAGAGAAGAUAUAAUGUUUAAAGAAGGCAUGGAAGAAGAGCAAAAGAAAUAUAAGCUUGUUGUUGAUGUACAAGUUGAUGGUUCUUCUCACAAUGUACAUGAAGUUCAUCCUCCACUUCAUGAUAGUGAUGUUGGUCAUGAUGGUGAUGUUGAUCAUUGAUGAUAGCACACAAUCUAGUGAAAGUCGGCAUGAUUCUCGUGAGAGCGAGGAUGAUAUGUCUACCCUGUCGGCACGUGAGUUGAAAAGAUCAACUAAGCUACAUAAACCCACCCAAAGGUAUUCUCCUUUCUUGUAUUAUGCUUUAUUUACUGAUUUGGGUGAGCCCAAUUAUUUUCAGGAAGCAAAUGAUUGUCCUAAAAAAACAAAGUGUAAAAGGGCAAUGAAGGAUGAUUCCUUAUAUCAAAACCAUACUUGGAAGUUGGUGGAGCUUUCCGUCGAAAAGAAAGUAUUGAAAAAUCGAUGGGUUUAUUUGAGCAAGAAUGAAGCCGAUGGAUCCAAUAGAUAUAAGGCAAGGCUUGUUGUUAAGGGCUAUGGACAAAAGCAAGUUAUUGACUUCAAUGAAAUAUUUUCUCCCAUUGUUAAGUAUUGCUCAAUUAGAGUUGUUUUAUCCUUGGUUGCAAAUUUGGAUAUUGAGCUUGAACAACUUGAUAUUAAAACUGCUUUCUUGCAAGGUGAUUUUGGAUGAAGAAAUUUAUAUGUUUCAACGAGAAGGCUUUGUAGAAGCUAAUCCUAAUUUACUAUGUAGACUAAAGAAGGGACUACAUGGUUUAAAGUAAGUAUCUAGAUAGUGGUAUAAGAAGUUUGAUUCUUUCAUGCAAGAUGAAGGUUACAAAAGAUAUGAUUUUGAUCAUUGUAGUUAUUUUAAAGGCUCAAUAUAUGAUUCUUUUACUAUUUUGUUACUAUAUAUGGAUGACAUGCUGAUUGUUAGUAAUGCUCAAAAUGAUAUUAUAAAGUUGAAACUUGAUAUGUCGAAGCAGUUUGCUACUAAGGAUCUUAGUGAACCAAAGAAAAUUUUGGGCAUGCAAAUUAAAAGGGAUAGAGACCAUGGCAAGUUAUGGCUUAGUCAACCGAGCUAUAUUUUCAAAGUUCUUGAAAGGUUUGAGAUGAAAGAUUGUAAGAUGGUUUAUAUUCCAUUAGCCGGGCAUUUCAAGUUAUCCAAGAAGAACUCUCCAAAGAAUGAGAUCGGAAGAGAUAAAUGAAGAAUGUUCCUUAUAAUUCCAUUGUUAUGAGCUUGAUGUAUGGUAUGGUUUGUACAAGACAGGACUCAGCUUAUGCAGUUGGAGUUAUUUCAAGAUAUAUGUCUAAUCUGGGAUGGGAGCAUUUGUAAGCCGUUAAAUGUAUUCUUCGGUAUUUGAGGGGCACACAAAAUAUUUGUUUGUGUUUCGGUGGAACUUCUUUGGGGGUGAAUGGAUAUGUUGAUCUUGAUCAUGCCGACUGUAGAGAGAUAAGAGAGUCCACUACGGGAUAUGUUUUUACAUUUGGAGGUAGUGUGGUUAGUUGGAUGUCUAAGUUGCAAGGCAUCGUUGCUUUGUCCUCUAGGGAAGCCGAAUAUGUUGCCUUGACCAAGGCGGCGAAGGAAAUUAUUUGGUUGAAGCGAUUGCUUGCACAAUUUGGAGUGAAGCAAAACAAAUAUGUUGUGCAUUGUGAUAAUCAAAGCGCAAUUCAUCUUGAAAAAAAUGAGGCGUUCACUCCCGAACUAGGCAUAUUGAUGUUCACUUUCACUUUAUUCAGAUGACAUUAGAUUGUCAACAAUGUGGAGAAGAUCAAUACAAAGAAAAACCUUGCAGAUAUGUUGACAAAGGUUGUUUCUAUGAAAAAACUCAUAUUUUGUAGAAAGCAACACUCUGGAUUGAUCGAGAUGUAGAUUGAGUGGUUGGAGAAUAAUGCAUUUUAAAGAAGCUUAUUUGAUGGAUGGAGAUUACUUGUUAGAAGGAUGGAGAUUUACCUUCAAGUGAGAGAUUGUUGAACUAAUUAUAUUGGGCCUAUUUGUUAUUUGGGUUUUGCUGUUUGGGCUAUAUAAUUUGGUAAAGUCAAAAUCUCCUAUUUUUAUAUUUUCUUAUUAUGUAUGUGUGCCCCCUAUUUAUAAGCCUUUGGAUCAUGAUUCUUUUGAUCCAAAGGCCCAUAUUGAUAGCUUCUCUUAGGAGCUAAAGCAGAAUAUUAGAAUAUUAGAGAGAAAAGAAGAGUGAGAAAUAGAAAGUGAGAAAGAAGUGGGAGAAAAGAGAGGAAAUCCUAGAGCUUGGUUUUGGUUCUAUCAAGAAGGAGGUGAGAUCUUCCUUGUGAGGUGUGGUUUACACUAUUUGGAUAGAGCUAGAGAUUGUUGGAACUCUUUUUAUAUUUUAGAGUUAAGAUGAUAUUUUUUUCAUUUGAAUCUCUCUUGUAAUCUCUAAGUUUAUAGUGAAAGUUUCUGUUGCAUUGUUCUUCUGUGGAUGUUGGUAUAGCCGAACGACGUAACUCCUUAUGUUCUUGUGAUUUUGUUUAUUUUGUUAUUGCUCUUAUGAUUGGCUCUCCAUUAGAUACUUGUAUAGAGUGGAUUGUGAAAAUUGCCAACCAAGUAUUUGUAAAAUUGUAUUAAUAUUUUUCAUCCUCAUUUUACAACAAGACGAAUACUUUUGAGUUUCAGCCUAGACUCGAAGACCUCAAGACCUCUGCUCGAGGUUUGAACCCAAUCGGACCGUUCCAUCUCUAAUUCGUUCUCGAGACAAAGUCAAAUCGACUUGCACAUCGAGAGACAUUAGAAAACAGGCAAACUAGAUCGUGCCAUACACCACUUUGCAAUUUUCCAGUCAACACAAGUAGGCGAAAUAUUGAAGAAAUAUUUGACCGGAACGCAUAGACAUCUCCAAAAUUAAAUAACUAAAUAAAUAACUAGUUAAAUAUGUAAAUUUCUCUUUUGACCCCCAGUUAUAAUAAUUCCCAUAUUGUGAAUACAAUGAUUCGGUUAUGAUAUAUCGGAAAAAAGAGAACUGUCUUUGCAUCUUUCUUUGCAACUCAGUCAAACUUUCCGGACAGGAUUAGCAAAAAAAAAGUCUUUGAUAUCAGUUAAAAGACCCCACUCAGAAAUAGGGAAAAUUGAGGAAGCACAAUGGUAAGUUCUCAUAAGAAAGAGAACUAAAAAUUAGCUCGGGAGGAUGCAAAUAAGAUAACACCGGUACCUUAUUUUCUUUACUAUUAUUAUUAUUGUUAUUACUAUGAAAUACCAAAAAAUAAGAAAGAAAGCGGAAGCACUAAAUAUGACUAGAUUCAAAAAAAAAAAAGAAGAAAAUACAAAAAUACAAAAAGAAUGAAAAUUAAGUGUGAGCCUUAUAAAAUGGUAUAUGCCUCAUAUUCUAAACACCUUGCUGUUGCUAUACCAUCAUAGAUGGAGUAGUAAAGUAAAUCGAUAAAUGGAAUAAAAUAGGGAAGUGAAGAGUGAUGAAUCAAUGCAGCAGUUACUUCUCAGUACUAGAUCUCUAGUCUUCAUUUCAUUACUUGGUACGAUAAACAAAAGAGGAAACAACUGAACUGACAAAAGCAAAUUUAACUAUUAUUAUUUAUUAAAAUUUAAAAUGAAUACAAAAAUUUAACAAUUAUAGAAAGGAGAGCAUUACAUGCAACUUUAUUAUAUUAUGUUACAGCUUUGCCACAAUGGAACAAUUAACGUUAAACUAAGUUCAGCUGGCUUCGAAAUCGUCAGUCUUGAUUCAAUUUCAACCGGUUCAUCGUCUUGCAGGUCGGUGUGGCUUGUUCUGCUGACUCUUUCCUGCCGAACACAACGAACCAAGUGGGGGAAAAUCUUCCGAAGAGAAGGGGCCAUCGCGAGUCCACUUCAUGCCCUCUGAGCUUUGCUCCUCUCUGGGUACGUUAACCUGUUCGGCUCGGGGCGGCAGAGUCGAUGCUGGUCGUGCUUGGGCCAAUGGCGUGGACGCUGGUUGGGGUUGGGCCCGCGAGCUUACUAACUCGUUCACCGGAGCUGGCACCAGAGGGUACUGGAGGGGUCGAAGAUUCUGUAGUUCAGGAUCAGGAAUGAAUCUGUAGGGAAGCUUGCGACCAUCCAUUUUUCUGAACGUAAUUGAGAUCCUGUUGAAGGAUUAAGGAUAAAAGAAGAGGAUUGUUAGGAAUUAAUAGCAGCAGAGAUGAAGUCGUAUAAUUUGAGAUAAAAACUCUCUUGUAGUGUUAGGAAGUGUUUUAUCUGUGUCAAUCGUACUGUUUCGAUGCAUUACCUCUUGGUGGGCACAGCAGGUACGCAAUGCUUAGCUACAUCUGCGCCAUUACCAUUCAAAACAAGCACCGACCUGCAAGUUAAUUCGGUCACAGUUAAGAGUCAAUUCCAAAACAAAAGUACCUUGUAAUUAGAUAAGAAUAGGUAGGAAUGAAGAAAGAAUACAAUUUCUUUGACAAAUACAGUCGAUGGCCAAAAGUAUGUAUGAAAUAAAACUGAGAGCAUUUGAUUGCCAGAGUUGUAGCUUUCCUACGUAAAAUAUGUUAAAACUAGCUAGUGUAAAAUAAUAUUGAGGGUCCAAAUUUUCUCCCUACAACUGAUCACUAAUAGAAUUGUUCAAAAACUACAUCUUGGGGCAUUUGAAUCUUCUCGGUACUAAUUUCUAAGUGCCUUUCAUGGAAUCGAUAUAACCAUUCCAUGAUGCUUUUUAUACUCGCAAUGCACAAUUAGUUGGUUGUGCAUAAGACAUCUGACUAUGUAGUAUGAGAAAACUUUAUAAUCCACUUGCAUAGCUAGACCUAGUACACCCUUUUAGUUGAAAUGCUAGUUUCCUGAACUGUAUAGGUUGUUCUGCUAGUAAAAGUCAGUACUCGAAGCUUUUAGAACACACAUACAGCAAAUUAAAGUUAAUAGAUACACCAGGGAAGGCAUUUCAAAAGCAAUUGUUUGAAAAGUGUGCUGCACAUCAAGGAAACAAUACAGAAAAUUGGUGAAUUGCCACAACAUGCAAAAAAAUUAUACUAAUACACAAGAGAGACCUCGGAAGCUGCUCAAUCAAACAUAAGAUAAAAGAAGUGAUGAGAAUGGUUUUUUUCUUAAAAAAAAAAAAAGGAAGAGUACAAGGCCAAAACAUAAGUGAACUCAUAUAUAACAUUUAAACUAGAACUAAACACCAAAAUAGUGAUCCUCAAAUAAUUUGGAAACAACAACUUAAUCAAAACCAGCAUAUUUUAAUGUUGAAAAUGGAAAUGAAGUUAGGAUAUGAGUAGAAAUAAUGAGAUAAACCACUGUUAAUGAUUAACAUACCCGACUGGUAAAGGAAUGGAAGUAGGGGCUGCAAACACUCCCGGCGAGACCACUUUGAUGUAGGUUCCAAAGAGAAUGUUGCACUGGGAGAGCAAGGAAACGGUGCAAAAGGGUCGAACGAAAUCGUGGUGGUCGAUAUGAGGAGGGAUGCAGUCAUCUUCAUCAUAGAUGUUUAUGAUGCAACUGUUUGGGACACACGUUGGCGGGAGCACAUGCCACGCCACCAUCCUCUUAAUCAUAGUCUUCAGUAUGGGAGGCAUUGGAUCGACUUCCUCGUCCCGCAUUAUUCCUGGAAGGUUUCCAUUGUUAUCCUGAAUAACAACAAGUUUUAUUAUCAAAACAAAAGAACGACUAAACAAAGAGAUGCAAAAGAAUAAAAAAUAAAAACUGAAACUACGGUAUGUAUUAAUUUACCUUUGCAUAGUUGUAGCAACAACCAAAUUGUAUAGUCACGCGCCCUUUCCCACGCAUCCACUUCUUUGGCUCUGAAUAAGUGCGCUCUGUGAAGCAGAAAAGUUGUUAGCGAACCGAUAGGGAAAAAUCGAAAUAUAUACAUAAACAACAUGAAAAAGCAUAUAGCAACCGAUUUCCAAAGUAAAUGCCUACUGCAAAAUAUCCAAGGAAAGCAGUAAAGGAUGCAUUCACGCUACAUUCAUCAAAAGCAGGAACUGAAGGAGACAAUGCGCUUAUACCUAUAUUUUCAUCAAGUGGAGUAAAGGAACACAAUUGACGUAUAUUCAAUAACGGGAAAAAAAAAAAAAAAAAGAAAAGAAGAAGAAGCACAUAUAACAUUUACCAAGGCAGUGACGAUGAUAUUGAUCGUGCCUAUGUUUAUAUUUUCAUCAGGUGCAGUAAAAAGAGAACGGAAAGAAAACAAUUACAUAUUAUGCAAUAAGAGAAAAGAGAAAGGAAGCAUCUAGGGCAUUUGACAGGCAAACGACAGCGACACGACAGCAACAGCGGCUCCAUACAGCAUAGAAUUCAUCGGAAAGAUCCGAAAUUUUCUAUCGAUUUGAAGCUGCGCUGCAUGCGGGCAGAACUGACAUUCAAACUGAUUCUGGCUUCCGUAGAAUCAGCCAGGCCAUAAAUUCCCCCCUCUGUUCUUUUCUUGGAUCAGUACCCGUAAACCAUUAUAUUACCCCAAGAACAAGUUAUGAAUACUAUGGUUUCAAAAUUUGUUUCAGUUUCUUGAAUUAUUAAAAGAAAGGAAAGGAAAGAAGAUCCUUUACCUCUGAGCAAUCCACGCCUUCCUCGCUGCUGGAAAUCCAAGACGCAGUCGACGAUCCUGUGCUGCUCGGCGGCGGAGAAGACCCCCUCGUGGAGCUCGAGGCCUUCGAGGACGUUGACCCACCUCCCCCCGACCCUCUCCAUGUGCUUAAAAUCCUUCUUCCUCUUCACCAGAGACAACAUUAUGGCCUCCCUCUGCUCCCUCGGGAGCUCCUGCUCCUUCUCCUGCUGCCGGUGAUGCCGACUACGCUCUCCGUCGCCGCCCAUGAUCGCAGAGAAGGCUCCUCAAACAGAAGCAGGUGAAGAAGAUGAGGAAGAUGAGCAAGAAGACUCGCCUAAAAACAAGAAAACCAACAAGCGGUGCCCAUCAAUACAAGUGACAAGAAACAACUACUAAGGGAACACAGAAAACAAAGAGAGCAAAAUCCCCAAUGAGAAAAUUUUUCAGAAGUACUAGGAGAACAUGGAUACAUACCGCUGUGAUAUUAAAGGCGAUCUCUCUUCUCCUCCUUCUUUAUCUUCACCCUUUACUGCUGUGUUUCUGUUUCAAUCUUGAUCUUCCUUUCUCUUUCCCUCUCCGUCUGUCUCUCCUUCUGUGCUAUGGUAUGUUUAUAUAUAAACGAGAGGGGCAGGCAAAUGAGAGAGAGACUCGGAAAGAGACUCGGAAAGCAGGCUGCGCCGAAUCUUACGAGGAAAUAUUAGAUUCCUAGUCCGACUUGGAUUUAGUUCUAAAUCUCUCUAUCUCUAUAUCUUCAAUAUCUAUUAUUUAUUAUUUAUUACUAUAUAUAGGAAUACUGUCCGUUUGCUGAAACAUAUCGCGGCCAUAUACCCGGUGCAUCAGGUUAUUUUUAUUUUAAUAUAUAUAUAUAUAUAUAUAUAUUUAUAUAUGUAUAUAAUGGAUAUAUAAGCACUAUUAUUCUAAUUUGGGUCUGUUCGACAGACCCAUUUUUGGCGAAAAAAAAAUAUUUGAUUCCUCUUUUCUUACUAAAAUAUAUAAAUAAAAUGAAACAAAUUUAAUUUCUAUUAUCUCUAAAAUAGAAAAAUAAUAUAAUUAUCAAAUUUUUACAAGAUAUAUCUACUGUGAAUAUAUUUAUUAAAAAUUAUUUAAUUUUUUAUCUCUAAAUAGAAAAGAAAUUUAUGCUUAUCCAAAUUAUUUGCGCAGAAUAUCUACCUGUAAAUUUAUAUUUCAAUUCAAAUUUAAAAUUAAUUUAAAAUUUAAAAUUUUGGGACUAUCAAUAUAUUACAUAGAAUAAUUUAAAAGAUAGAUUGGUUGUAAAUUGAAAUCAUAUUUUUGAAAUAAUAUGAGUGUACAAAUUUAUGAUUAAUUUGUAAAAAUUAUUCUCAAAUAAAUGAACAAAUUAUGAUCAAUUUGUUAAAAAAAAAUUUAUACGUAUUCUAUAACUUCAAUUCUACGAACAGUUAUGAUCAAUUGUUAAAAUAUUAAAAAUAAAAUAAAUUUUUAUAUUCAAUCUAUUAAAAAGUAGCACUUCAUUUAUUUAUUUUACAUUAAAAUUUAAAUGAGUUUAAAUUGUAAAUUAAAUUAAUUUUUAAUUUUUUAUAUCAAAUCUAUCCAUCUUUUUAUUAUUAAAUUUAAAAUUGAUAAUUGUAGAUAUUCUAUAAAAUGUAACAUAUAAAUUUAUAUAAAUAUUUUAUUCUAAAUUUUUGAAUAAAUAUUGAUUUAAUGUUUACGAUUUAAACAAAUUAAAUAAUUGUUAUGUGCAGUUGCACGUACCAUCUCAACUAGUAUAUAGAUAUAUAUUUAAUAAUAUAUUAUUAUAGAAUUAUGUCCUAUAUAUAUCAAUUAGUACCAAGCCUUGGUACUAUGGUUUUUGGAUGGGACCGUUUGGAUGAAAGGAUAUGCGGUUAGGAUGAUAGUGGUCCCCUAGGGUUGAGUGGGUGGUUGGUUUAAUAGUAUAAUCUAACGGGUGGAAAUGAUCACAUGGUAGAUCUAACGGUAGAAAACUCUAUAGUACCAAAGGCUUGGUACUAUCAAUAGUAUAUAUAUAUAUAUAUAUAUAUAUAUAUAUAUAUAUAUAUAUAUAUUUAGGCUAGAAUGCUAUCAAUAGCACUAAGUUGUUGGUGCUAUUAGGUUUUCGGCCUUUGGAUGAAGAAACGUACGGUUAGGAUGAUAUAGGCCCUUUAGGGUUGAAUGAGUUGCUGGUUUAAUAGUAUAAUCUAACGGGUAAAAAUAGUCAAAGGGUUAAAUCUAAAGGCAGAAAACUCGGUAGUACCAAGUGCUUGGUGCUAUUGAUAGUAUUCCAGCCGGACUCUAUAUAUAUAUAUAUAUAUAUAUAUAUAUAUUUUAUACCUUUUAAUACAAAGACAUUUAAAAUAUAAUAAAAUUAAUUUAAUUAAUUAAUUUUUUUUUUGACAUUUUGUUAUACAAAUUUAUCGGCAUUUAUGAAAUGUAUACAUAUACACUAGGUGCAGGCAAUAGUUUUCAAUAGAGAUGAGCCAUCAUUUGUGGACAUGUGUCCAUUCAAUAGGUGCACCGGGUGCACCAAGAAUCCAAUAAAAAAAAUAUAAUUUUAUUUUAAUAAAUAUGUCUAACAUUUAUAAAUAUUAACAUAUAAAUAUUUUAAAUAUUAUGGAAUAAAUUGAAUUAACUAAAAUUUAGUUUUGGCAUCUUCUUUGUACAACUUUAUUGGUGUGUAUGCUAUAUAUAUAUAUAUGCAAACCACACACUAUGUGCGGUCAAUUACUAUAUAAGCUUCGUUUGGUUCGAGGUUUAGUUCUUUAUUUCAGGGAUAGUGUUAAGUUCAGGGUUAAGGUGGGGUUAGAGUAAUUUUGUAUUUCGUUGAGAAUUGGGUUUAAUCCAGAUAUAAGUAAAAUAAUGUUUGGUUAGAGUAAGUGAAAUAAAAAGGAUAAUGGAUAAUUAUAAAUAAAAAAUAAUAAUAUUACCCCAAUUAUUAUAUUUGAAUUUGAAUUUUUUAUUUUAUAUUUAAAAUUUUAAAUGUAAAUAGACAUAUGCUUAGAAAUCCUAGAAACUUGUUUUUGAAGCUUGUUAUUGAAGCAAGUUUUUUGGAAACUUGCUUUAAGGUACAUGCUUAGAAAUAAGAUCCUUUAGAAAUCCUAGAAACUUGCUUUUGAAGCUUUUUGAUUCAUGUCUUAAAGUAAGUUUCAGUUUUUCGAUCGUCAACUCGAUUCUUAGGCUUUUAUUCUAAUGUUUCUUCGAAAAUCAAGUUGAUGAUGGAUUGAAAGGGUUCUCCUCAUAGCUUAUGAUUUUCUAAGAGAUUCAAUCACCACCAAUUAUUCUUUCUACGGGCUCCGAACGGAGUGUUUGCGCGAGGGCUUUGCGUGAGGCCGAGGAUUCGGUGGACGCUAGUGGAUUCGAGGCGUUGUUGCUGCAAGGAGUUGCGGCGUGAUCGGUUGGAGGUGUUCGAUCGAUCGAGGACCGGCGAAGACGAUCUACGGUGAGGAUUCGGUAAAAGUUGGGUCGUGAAUUUGCUAAAUCACUUUGUACUCAAUUUUUCAUAGUAGAUUGUUUCGUGCGAUCAAUCUCGUGGUUUUUUUACUCCGAAUUGGAGUUUUCCCACGUAAAACCUUAGUGUGUUGGUUUUCAUUUUCCACAUUUGGUUUUUAAUUUGUAUCGUGAUUUUUGUUUUGUCGUUUACACCUAUUCACCCCCCUCUAGAUGUUAUUUUACCUUUUAGAUCUUUGGGAUUCAUAACUUACAAAAUGCAUAUAAGACUAUUUUAUAUAUAUAUAUAUAUAUAACCCGGGGCUACUAUACUUAUAUGAGUAUAGAGAUCUUUGUACUCAUAAGUUUUCGGCCGUUCGGAUGAAAAAAUGUGCGGUUAGGAUGAGAGUGGUUACGACAAGGUUGAUAGUAGGCCCCCUAGGGUUGAGUGAAUGGUUGGUUGAAUAGUAUAAUCUAACAGCUGAAAAUAGUUAAAGGGUAGAUCAAACGGCAAAAAACUUAAUUAUGAGUACAAGAUGCUCUAUACUAAUAAGAGUAUAGUAUAUAUAUAUAUAUAUAUAUAUAUAUAUAUAUAUAUAUAUAUAUAUACUUUUACCAGUUUCCUUUUUCUAAAUUGCCAGCUUUUAAAUACUUGUAAUUUUCCAAAUAUGUAUACUCUCAUAUAUAUCUGUCUGUGNUAUAUAUUAUUUUAUUUGUAAAAUUUUAUUAAUUAUAUAUAUUUUAAUUAGUUGAAAUAUUAUCUACCCGCUGCGAAGUGCGGGCCCUUUACUUGUAUAUAUAAUAUACCAUUCUGGAUUCUAAUUUGUGUCUACUGCACCACGAAUCUAAAGAGUUUAUAUAAAAUCGGACAAUGCAAAUUUGAAAAACUAUCUAUGUACAUACUAUGCAACAAUCUAACUUGUAGGACAACAAAAUUAGUCAUUUAAUUAUUUCACAAAUUGUAACUUAUUGGCAAUGAUAUUUCCAUUAAAUAAAUGUUAACUAUUAUAUAACCAGACAUAAAUAAUCAAUAGUUUUGCAUCAAAUAUAUAUCUGCAAAUAUUGUUUCGAUAAAAUUUAUACAGUAUAGAAUUCUACAUUUUCUAUAAUUAACUAACUUGUGCUUAAAAGUUAAUGUUAAAAGUUUAUGUACACAUGCUUUUUAAUUAUAUAUACAUACAUUAGGGUUAAAUAUAUCAAAGUCCCUCAUUUGGUAAGUACAUUAAUGGCUUCUUGAUAUGAUAAAAUUGAAGUUAUCUGGCUAGAUUAGUAUUUGAUUUAUUGUGAAUUUGGUUGGAUUAGGAUCUGGCUCAUGGGAAGAUAUAGUUAAAGUCAUGCAUUAGCGGGAUUACAUAUUUGAUUCUUAUGAAAAAUUUAAGUACAUAGAAUUCUAGUUUCCUUCAGACAGAUUAAUUUGUUUUAAACUCUUAAAAGGGGACUAAAAAAGAAGCACCAUUACCCCUCAAGACUCAAAUGUUUGAACUGUACUUUUUCUCUCUUGUUAAUAUUUCUUUAUAAUCAAGCCAUCGUGUAUUGUUUAUUGAGGUAUAUUUACACUACUUGCUACAUAAUCUAAUUUCCUUGCAGCAUGCUGCUAUACCCUGUAAUUAUUGUCUUCAUGAUAACUCAUCAAUCCAUGUCUUUCUAUUAUUGCCAAUACUUGGUAUAUCUAGAAUUACUCCAUAUAUUUAUUGAUCUAAAAUAAUACUUCCAUUUACUAUAUAUCUGUCUCGUUAGUUCAUAAAUAGUAUCUUCUUUAAGACCUCUUGAUUGUGCAGGAGGCAGUUUAUUUAAUUUCAUUUUUUGCAAACAUAUUGUUCUCUAGAUUGGAACCCACAAUCACAAAAUAGAUAUAUUGUAAGAACUUAGUUUCUACUAUUAAAUGGUCCAAUAUGAAGAACAACAAAUAGGAUAGAGCUUUCUGAACAAAUGUUGAAUAGAAAAAUUAUAAAGUUGAUUGAUUAGCUGGUUUUUGAACUUCUCAGGAUGUAGCUUCUGCUCAGUAUGAAAUGGAUAGGAUACUUGGGCAUCCAUUCCUGCAACAUUACACAAUAGAUACUUAGAUGCAUCUCAAUGUAUCACUUAAUUAGUUAUAUAUGUUAUAUAGUGGUAGCUAGGAUGAUUUUUGUUACACCUAGAGACAGAAAAUUAGACUAUAGAUAUAUAUGUUAUAUGUUCAAAACUUAUUCAUUGAUCAAUAAUUAGUUCAAAUGUUAUUCAAUGUGCAGGUGGAUCAAAAUGCGUUUAUGCACUUUUUGAUUUACUACUUAAAUAUUUAGAAAAUUUGUUGUCUUAGCAAAUUCAAAGUGAAACUAAGAAAAAUAUGUUUUGCCUCAGAUGUGGAUCUAGUAGUUCGUGCAGUAGGAACUUUUAAACACAAAGAGAAAUACACUGUCUUGGAAGCAGCCAUAUCUAUGAAGGUGAGAAUGUGAUAGUUUGUCUACUCAUUAUUCAUUAAAUUUGAUAUUGUUAUCUUUUUGAGAUAUUAUAUAAUCUAAAAAAUUUUCUGUGAAAUCUGAAAUUUCCUAUAUGCAUCUAAAAAACUUUUUAUAUAUAUAUAUAUAUCAAAUUCAAAACCAGCUUUUCCAUGAGAUAGUUUGAUUCCGUAAGUUAAGAUAAGGCCAUUUUUUUAGAAAUCUACAUUUUUGACGAGCAUAUAAGGGUAUAUGAUAAAACCCUUACCUAUUUUUUAGUUUAACUGAAUGAAGAAUUAGCUAUAGACUUCUUUUUCUUGUAAGCAGACAACAUAUGUUCAUGUUUGUGAUGACACAGACUAUGCUUGGAGAGCAAAAGGUUUCCAUAAAGAAGCAAUAGCUGCUAGUGUUCUAGCUAUAACAAUAGCUAGAAUAUAUCCUAGAGUGAGCAAUGGUGUUUCUUUAUAUGGCAUAGCAUAGUAGUUUAAUAUUUCUUUUUUUUUUUUCUGAAGAAAGUAUUGCAAUACUCCUCCAUUUGCUCACUUGUUAUGACUACAUUUUGAGGACCUCUAUCAAGUUCAUGAAUAAUGGAAGUGGUUUGCAAAUUUUGUACUUGUUUUUUUGUAAGUUCAUUGUUCUUGAAUUUUUUUUAUUUUUUGUAUUUUUUUUAGUUAGAGAGUUUGAUUUGUUACAUGUGAGUGGAUAUUAUUAUUGUGAUGUAUGGAUAUUAGAUUUAGUUCUACCAUUCUNAUUUAUCUAAACAUCUAGUGUUAAGUUUUAGUUAGAGAGUUUGAUUUGUAACAUGUGAGUGGAUAUUAUUAUUGUGAUGUAUGGAUAUUGGAUUUAGUUCUACCAUUCUAACAGUAAUUUUAGAAACUUUGUUGAUUUCGAUGUUUUUAGUUUCAUUGAUUUAAUGUAAAUGUGAUUAGCUUAACUAAAACUUAACACUAGAUGUUUAGAUAAAUAUUAUUCUUUUAAUGACAAUGGGAAUACUUAUAAAGUGUCACUAUGCAAAAAAGAUAUUACCAUUUUUUUUUUCAAAUUAGGGACACUUAUGUGUGUUAUUAAAAGCAACAGAAAGUGUCACUAAAUUGCAGCACUUUUUAUGUUCCAAGGACGCUCAAAAGUGUCGCUAUAGCCUAGUUUUGUUGUAGCGACACAAUCACAAAACAUCCAGAAGGGCCUAAUUGUGCAUAUUUGGUUAGCAAGAAGCUCCCCCACACAUUCGUUGGAUCCAACACUAAACAACCCUCUAAUGACAACUAACAUUGAAACGAUGCAGCGAUAAUAACAACAUCCUACACACGGUACAUUCACAGCAAUUAUAGCAAAAUGAAAGAUGAGCUGAUUAAAAUUUGGACCAAGACAUGCAAGGAGAAUGUCCACUAAACGUCAUACAAGCUACCUGAAAGCCUCAAUGUGUUAUUUCUAGCAAUAGAAAGGCAAGAUCACAGCCAAUAAUGAAGCUCAGGCAUGACAAAGUGCAUAAUUGCCAGGGAAGGAGGAAGAGCUCCGGGAUUGGUUGUCGAACGCAUGGGCAGCCGACAAUGGUAGAGAGCCUGCCAGAAAGAGAACCCAAAGGGGCUCAGGUUAACAAGCUAUGCGGCCAUGGUGCAACUCGAGCUAGCUACUGUUCGACAUAAGUAGCACCAAACAACCGUAGAAAGGAGAAAGGAAAAGAUAAGGGCCGCCAAGGCUUCAAUCUACGGUCACCACCAGUAGUGUAGGCCAUAGAGUGGAAAAGCCCACGAGGAUGGCUUGACCAGGUAAGGUCGCUCAUUCUAAUAGGUAGAGAUCACACGAAAAAAAGGUGGCGGGAAAGACCUGUCACGCCCGGGUUCCAGCGGAAGCCUACCCGGUACAUGCACAGACCAGCCGUAUACUCAAGCAUACAAGGCGUCUGCAAAAACCAUGCUAGUAAAGUAAUAACAAGUAAGAACAUCUAACAUGGUAUCAGAGCGUAAAAUAUACAAAAUCCACUAAAAGCAACAGGAAGCCAGAGUAUAAACCUACAAAUACAACUCUCCCACAAAACUCAUACAUCACACGAUCACAAAACGGCUAUAUAUACAUGUGUUAGUCUCUAUACAAAGGUAGCACAUCAUCCUCGCUGACACGUCCCAAAACAGAGAGGUGAUCAUCUAACGGGACUCCAAGCUAUGCCUCGCUAGAUGCGACUAUCUUGCCGCGGUCCCUAGCCUCUCCCACUGUGGAUGGCUUUGUAAAUAGACAACAACAAAUAGGGCAUGAGAACUAUUAGUCAAUAGUUCCCAGUGGGUAAGCCGCCGACCUCAGCGAAUUACACCACUAGGUUCACAAAGCAUAAAUAGAAAGCAUGUACACCUACAACAUGAUAGGAAUAAUAAGCAACUAAUGAAUUGUAAAACUACUAUGCUUUCAAUGAAACUAACAGUGUGCUACAAAUACAUGAACUACUCUAUAUGCGUAAGCAUUCUAUAUCAUUUCAUAAUUGUACACUAUCUAGCAGUGACCAUCUUACUAGUACAAUUUAAUAUUGUUAUUCAAUUCAUAAGAACCUACACAAGGUAGUCCGGCUUGCGCCGCGCCUAAUGGCCCCGUGGUAGUAUGCACUCCCCACGGCAAUCCACUUCGACACCCAAUCCCGCACGGGGGAGCAUAAUGUCGCGUAGGCCAACUCCGGAGUGUCGACUUGUGGGUAGCGACUCUCACAAGCAUGUGUGAAUGAGCACAAUGGCAAGGAAGCAUGAUCCACAAUACCAGAUUCUCAAUCGUCAUGUCUCAAACAUGGAAUAUCCUCACCGACCUAUAGGUCGGGAUCUAAGUCCAAUAUCAAAUGCUAGUUAUCAACUAGGUUAUAACAACAACAUGAAUAUCAUGCUAGACUAAGCAUAUUUAUACCAUUUCCAACUUGUCUAGGCAAGUAUACUAUUUAUCAUAUAAGGAAUUUAAUGCAUUUAACUCUCUACUUCAUAGAGAUAUAACAUUGCCAUAUGAUGUUAUUACAGCUAAAACAUCCAAUAACUUCUUUACGAUGCCGCUAACAUAGAUAUGCAUCAAUUCUAGCUCUAUAUUAAGAAUAAGAACAUUGGAGGAAUUCACCCAUUCUGGUGAGGUCAAACCCACCGAAUCGCUGUCGACUCUUGUCGAUCCCGCGAGCGAAGGCGCUCUCUAGCCUCCAAGCACCCUAACAACCAUUCUAAGUUAAUUAGGAGUUAUACUCAAACCUUCUAAUAAGAACCUCACAAGUUCUUCUAACUUAGAUAGAAUCUUACCUAGUAUAGAACCAAGACUUAAUCUUCACUUCAACUCAGGUUGGAGCACACCAAAUCCAACCUUUCAAACUCCCAACCAAGCUCACCCCUCGCUAGGAUUGAGGAAUAAUCCUAAGCAAAACCUCCUUCUUCACGUUCUCAACACCACCAAGAAGCUUCCAACCAGCCUGUUUUCCCUCAAGCUCCAGCACAGGAAACAUCAGCUAAGGUCGAGCUGAGGCUUAAAUGGAUAACCUUCACUGUGAAAUUACCAAAAAAUUUCUUACCAACUCAAUCUGCCGCACUGGGGACCGGUACUCGGGUUGAGGUACCGGUACCCGCGCGAUGCCGUACCGGUACUCAGCUCCAGCUGCUCAAACCCGAGAGCUACGCAUCUGGCAACCCUCUGAGGUACCGGUAUCAGGCUCAGGUACCGAUACUCAACACUCCAAUCUGCAUUUUACAGAUUUUAGUGUUAAGCACUCAUCCUGGCAUUUAAAACACUUAAGUUAAAUGCCUAUCUACUCUCAACAACCCCUCACAAGUUCUAGAAUAGUUCUAAUUAAUAUUCUAACACUAGAACCUUGCAAUUUGCUAAAGUUCAGUGUACUACAAAACCAGAGCAGGGCUGGGUGAUUAGAGCGCGAUGACCCCACAAGGAGGAGGUUAAGGUGAUGGCUCGGCCUGAGGUAAAACCUGAUACAGUUCCACCAUAUCGAUAAGGAUAAAGCGAUCAUUUCAACAAGAUCGGACCUUCUAAAGAGAAAGAUAUUGAGAAAUAGAGAGAGAUAAAGGGAAAGAGAAUGAAAGAGAAGAAGGAACAAGACUACCAAUUUUUUCUUAUUCUCCAAACCCUAAAAGAUAUAAAUUUAUAUAACCUAACCUUAAUUAUACUUUAUUGAAAAUAACUAAACUAUUCUAAAAUAAUAAUAUAUCUUUCUAUAAUUGGAAACUCCUAAUCUAGGAACGUACCAUUCCACUACCCUCGAAAGCCAUAUUUUUCACAAGGUGGAAAAUCUUCAACUUUGUCUAUUCUCUUUAGAUCAUCUUUUUUAUUUUCAUCAACUUCGGCCUCAAUUAAAAUGAUUUGAGUUGCAUCGAUAUCCGAGACUAUAUUUUUCAUCACAGUAGUAGCAAAGGCCAUGACCACUUCUUACUUUUGCUUCAGUCGGUGUAAGGUCUUUUAUGGGUGGAAGCGUCUUAUUAGAUGUUAGUGUCGUGGAUGCAGACAAAAGAAAAGGCUUCAUAAUAUGAUAUUGAGCUAUCAACUUCUCCUCCUGUAGAUACGCAAGACCAAUGAUGGUUGACAUAGAAGCUGGUUGGAAAGCUUAGACAUCAUGCUUUAGGUCCUCCCUCAGCCCACUAACGAAGGAACUUAUAAAAAAUUUCUUAGUUAGUCCUGAAGUACGAUUUACAAGCAUUUCAAAUCGGGCCUGGGCGUCACGAACACACUGAGCAGGCCCUUGUUGUAAUUUUGAUAACUCACCUAUAUAGUUCUCAUACAUUGUUGGAGCAAAACGAGUGCAAAGGGCUUCUACGAAAAUCCGUGCAUGCUGCAACUCCAGACACUUCUUAAACCAUUGAAACCAUUGCAAUGCUUCUUUCUCCAUAUGCUAAGAUAUGAGCGGAACCUUUUGCGUGUUUGAUAUUUGAUUAAAUUUAAAAAAUUACUCUGCUCAAUACACCCAUCCAGUUAGAUCCUCUCUAUCGAACGAAGAAAACUCCAAGCGUGUGACGCGAGGUUGCACCAUCAAAUGAUUUUCUAUAAAAGGAACCAACGCUCCUUCCUUUAUAGGAGUUCGGAGUAAGGGAUGAUUUUUGUCGGAAUUUGAGACAAAUGUAUCUUCAAAUGGUGCAUGCGGUCGCAGAUCCAUCUUUGUACUUAUAGUGAUGAUUAGAUUUUUGAGAUUGUUAACAGAGUUGCUAAUGAGCUUUACUUUGGUCUCCGUUUUGUUGAGUCGGUCGUCAACAAUGAAAAAUUGAGUAUUUAUUUUCUCUUUUCUUACAAACUCUACGCUCAUCUUCUUCAGAAAAUCUUUUUGUGCUCGAAUCAACACUAUACAAGGCUCUGAUACCAAUACAGUUCUCCCAUAUCGAAAAGAAUAAACAAUCACUUUAAGAGAUCGAAACUUCUAAAGAGAGAGUAAGAAGUAGAAGCAGAUGAGGGGUGAGAGAAUGAGUGGGAAGAUAGAACAAGACGGCUAAUUUUUUUUAUUCUCCAAACCCUAGAAAGUACACAUUUAUAUAACAUAACCCUAAUUACAAUUUGUUGGAAAUAACUAAAAUAUUCUAAAAUAAUAAUAUAUCUUUUCAUAAUUAGAAACUCCUAAUCUAGGAAUGUAUGAAAACCUAACGAAGGAAAAAAAAAAAAAAAAAGCUUGCGCCGACCUUGGGUUGGGCUAGUUCGAGCAAUGACAAGGGGCUAUCAAUGGCGCGUAGAUAGCUGACAGAGGGCAGCCGUGAAAAGAAGAAAUGGCGAGUAUACUAAGAGAAGUAUAAGGUCACUGUGAAAACGGUUUCAAGGGAAAAGAAACCUCAAUUCCCAAAAACACCGACUUAAGUAUAAGUUGCCAUCAAAUUGCACCGGGGUCUCUACUGUUCAUGAAAAUUUUCCUCCACACACCUUAAUUUUCUAUGUAAUAUUGUACAUAUGCUCCUCCAUUUUUCAAAAUUGCAAAAAAAAAUCACAUUAACUGAUAGAUUUUGCACUAUAGUCCUCCCAAGAAUUUAAAAUUUCACCCGAUUACUGCAGACAAAAUCUAAAUUCGUGCAUUUAUAUAUAUAUCUAUUAUAUUUCUAUUAAUCUAUUAACUUAUAUGAAUCCUUAAUAUUUUUUGCCACGUGGUAAGUUGUCCUUCACCCUCACCAUCAUUUAAUAUAUUUAAUACAAACUUUCAAUCUAUUAACUUAUAUGAAUCCCUAAUAUUUUUUGCCACGUGGUAAGUUGUCCUUCACCCUCACCAUCAUUUAAUAUAUUUAAUACAAACUUUCAAUCUAUUAACUUAUAUGAAUCCCUAAUAUUUUUUGCCACGUGGCAAGUUGUCCUUCAUCCUCACCAUCAUUUAAUAUAUUUAAUAAAAACUUUCAAUCUAUUAACUUAUAUGAAUCCCAAUAUUUUUUUGCCACGUGGCAAGUUGUCACGCCCCGAGCCCGCCUAUUUGGUCGGUUCGGGCAUGUCGAACAGACGCCGAACGGACAACACCUCUCCUGUCCGCUCAAGGCUCAACAAGACAUCAAACAUGUAUAUAGUAUACAUGGCUUGCACGAGGGCAAGCAAUAAUCAAAAGUGAAAGAUUCUAAACUAAACAUACAUACAAAUACUAUGAUUAACUUUUAAUCACAUACAUGCAUUCAACCACAUCUUAUAUUAACUUCUUUUCAUUCUUUUCUUAUACAUCACAUUUUACCCAAAAUUACAUCAUAUUCUUUCAUCCAAUAACUUAAGCUUUCACAUUAAUGCAUAAUUCAUACUACUAACAUCAUCAAAUACAAAAGAUGAUAAACGGGUAUGAAGCUAUACUCGGGUAGUCGCUAGCUAGGGUGCGAUACCCUUGCCACGGUCCUCGACCGCCUCACUCGGACCUAGAUCUGUGAAAAAUAGUGGGGUGAGAACUACAAAGAAGUUUCCAGUGGGUUCGACCGCCAACCUCGCCAACUUUUUCACCAGAUCUAAAUCAGGCAUAACAGAAGAAAUAAGCCGAUAGAUAAGUAACCAACUAUACAAAUGCAGCUAAUAUACCUGAACAAGAUAUACAAUAAGGAUGCUCAAUAAGAAUGCUCAUGAUGCAUGCAAGAUUCAUUGUCUAUUACCCAAUCCUCUCGGCUAACCCGUAGGUUUCGCCUACAACUUACCAACUCAAAUCCCCAUGAUUGGGGAGACUACUACGACCCGACGGGACCGUCUUCUGGGGAAAGCACCAACCCAGUGAUGACUACUCCGGAGCGCAUCGCUCGAGGAAGAGCGACCACCUUCAAGCCAAGACUUAUAGGCGAGUAUGAUCCAAAUCCUUAACUAUAAGGAUACCAAGUUCAAUCCAUUCCUUAACUAUAAGGAUGCAAUGUUCAAUCAUUUCCUUAACUAUAAGGAUGCCUCAACUAUGAAGAUGUCAUGUUCACAUAUUCUAUAAUGUCAAAUAUCUCAUUUUCUUGCAUUCUUUAUGUCACGCCCCGGGACCCAGCGGAAGGCCGCCCAGUGCGUGUCCAAACCCGCCAUAUAUCUAAAACAUAUAAGGCGUCUACAAAUAUGCGAUAAAUAAAAUAAUAGUAAAAGAGUAUUUAGGAGUAUCAGAGCAUACAACAACUAGGUUCUAGCAUAGUGAGGUAAAUAAAGGAAAUAAAUCUACUAAUAAAAGUAUGAGUAGUACAACAAAAACUCCCAAAAAUACAAGUGCUGAAGGUAUCACAGCGGUGGUCUCUAUACAUGGGUACAAAACUCACACUCUCUACAUAAACACAAAGAUAGAGAGAUGAACCACCUAUAAGCAAAGCUCCUCUCAACUAACUAGAGGCAAUUCCCUUGCCGCGAUCCUGAGCAUCUCCCGACGUGGAAGGCUCUGAAAGAAAAACAACAAAUAGGGAGCGUGAGAACUAUUAAACAAUAGUUUCCAGUGGGCAAUUACUGACCUCAGUGAAAUGCACCACCAGGCUAAAGGCAAAGGUAAAAUGCUCAGCUAAUAAACGGAAUGGACAACAUGUGGAUAAAAUAUGAAAUAAGCUUACUAACUACUAUGCCUCUACUUUAGCAUGAAUUUUCACAAUAGAAAUGCUAUUUUAACAUGAAAAUGCAUAAAUACAACCAACAAGAUGUUCACAAUGUAAUUAGUAAAAAUGUCAUUGUUUACUAAUUUGUCUAAUGUCUACUUUACAUUUUGGUUCAACUUGUUCCAAAUCUUAUAGGACCGAUCCGUAGGUAGUCCGGCUUGCGCCGUGCCUAAUGACCCCGUGGUAGUCAACAUUCCAACCCUAGGAAUGAGCCUUCCCUACGGCAUCCUAUUUCAGCGCCCAAUCCCGCACUGGCGAGUAUAUGUCACGAUGGCUAUCUCCGAAGUGCCGGCUCGUAGGGAGCGACCCUCACAAGCAUGUACGAAUGAGCACAAUGGCAAGCAAGCGUAUGUGUCCAACUCAAGUCCAAUGUCAUCAUGUCUAAAAUAUGGUAUAGGAGCUAGUGACCUCAAAGGCCUAUCACUAUGUCAUCUUGUAGAAAUUAAACAUUUACUAUGUUGAAUGCCCCUUUAUGGCAUUUGUCCACUAUGUCACACAAGAGUUCUAAGUCCAAGAGCAUAUUAUUCUCAUCCUUUUCAUUGCAUGAAACAUGAUUCCAUACCAUCAAAAUAGAAUGCUAACCAUAUGCAAGCUACAAUGCACAUAUCUCUCUCUACUACAUAGAGGCAUUUUUUCAUCAUACGUAACACAUGUAUUUUAAGCAUUCUAAAUAUCUCGUAUGCUCUAUCUAACACGAAUAUGCAUGCAUUUCAAUUUUAUAACAAUUAAAAAUUGGCAUAGGUGGAGUUCUUCUAUUUUCGAUGAAGUCAAACCCACCAAAACUCCUCGUAGCCCUUCAUUUGCACCGACGAAGGUAUCCACUACUCUCCUACCUCCCUAAAGGUAAUAUUAAGAGAGUUAAACUCAACAAACGAACAACCCUAAGGUCAAACAUUAAUCAACCCAAGAAAAGGCCAAAAUCUCACCUUGUAUGGUGAAAAUCUCUCUCAAUCUCCAAAUGAGAGUUAUAUUCCUUCAAAUCUAAUCUAAACAAAGGUUCUAAACCAAUCAAUUGGAAUCCAAAAGGCUCUAAUCAAAAAUUCCUAAAUAAACCCUAGUUCUACCAUUUCUAGGGUUCCAACAAGAAAAAUCCAUUUAAACAUGGAUCAAAUGUGGGGAAUAUGCUACUAACCUCUUUAGAAGCCUCCAACCACUCUAGGAACCAGCUAGGGUUGAAAACCUUCCCUCAAACAAGCUCCAAACAUCAAGCCAAACCUUCUCCUAUGGUGGAAAUAGCAGAAAGAAGCAAAAGAAGAGUUUAAUCUUCAAAAAUCCCAACUAAAAUGAAAGGAAAUAAAAGAGGGGAAGGGGAGAGCUCCCUUACCUUCUUCUCCAUUGGUCCAAGCUCAGGGAAACACCCAAGAGGCGUGGGUGGCUUUAUAGGGAAGCUACAAUUGCAAAAACACCCUUCAGGAAAAUGCAGUCUGCGAACUGCACUGCAUACAGGUACCAUCGGAGAAGAGUACCGGUACCAAACACUGUGCCCACAAAAUCGAGCCUCGGGUUGGCAGAAUAUUUGCACUGAUACCGGUAUAAGCCCGAUGCUGUACCUGUACCACCUCUGGUUCCGGUACCAAACCAAUGCUGUACCGGUACCCAGUUCUACAGAAUCCAAUCCAAGAGCAGCCUAAAAUUUCCUCUUUAGAGAUUUUAGGGCUACGUUUUAAAUCUCGAUUCUCGGGAUGCGAGCCAUAGGUCAGAACAUUGUCAACGACCCUUCAGAAUAUUCUGGAAAAGCCCGGAACACAGAUCAAACACUCGAACCUCGCAAUUUGCAAAGGUCCAGUGUGUUACGCUUUAGCUCUCAUUAGUAUCACAUACACUAAAUGUUCUUUAUACUCAUUCUCAUGCAUUCUUUACUCAUUAAUGCCACACACUGUGUUCAACUCUAGCAUUCAAUAUACUCAUUAAUGCCACACACUAUGUGUCCAAAUCUAGCAUUCAAUAUACUCAUUAAUGCCACACACUAUGUGUCUCACAUGUCAUAAUGUCACUAUGUUCUUUAUUGUCACUAGAUUCUUUGCCUCAUCUAAGUUUUUGUCACCUUUCAUACAUUCAUAGGGUUAAUACGUUCUCAAUAGUUUACUAACAUUUCGUAUGGAUUUUGUACUCACAACAUGCAAUAAUAUAUUCUCAAAUCAACCCUGGCCUACAAUGCAUGAAGUUCAUAUAUACACAUAUACUCAAGGAGUGAUACUUUAGACAUAAAGAAAAUUCAAGAAUUUCGGAUAGCACCACCCACCUCGUAGGAUUGCUAAGAUGCUACGGUUCGAAUUUCGUGAUUUUUAGCCGCCUAUUCUCUCGACUGCGGCAAAACGAAGCCAAAAUAAGCUUUUUCCUAAAUUUCUUUGCGUAGAUUCGUCGGAUCUUCGAACCGAGUCUCCCAACGCGUCGGUUUUACCUUCAAUUUGGUUUCUACAAGAUUAAUUUACAUUUAAACCAACCUAUAGCAAAAGCCCCAAUUUUAGAGCCCUAACAAUGCUCUAUAGCACAUACACUAUAUGGAUCUUGGAGAUAAACAAAAACAAGCUUAAUAUCAUCUAGAGAUCAAACUAAAACCAUUCUUAGGGCAUUUGAACCAAACCCUAGACAUCUACCAUGAGAGCUCAUGGAGCUUACCUCAAAAGCUAUCCUGUUCUUGAGCCAAAGAAGAAGAAGAAGAAGAUGCUUCACUUGCUAGCGUCCUUCUCCUCCAAGUCAUCCUCUUGAUCCACCUCUAAGAAAAAAGGAGAGACUUCUUAGAGAGAGAGAGUAUGUGUUUUGGGUGUUCUUUGGUUGUGAACAAGAGAGGAUGAGAUAGGGAGUUUUUAUAAGCUGCUACAAUUGCAUUUAGGCUCUCCAAUCUCUUUUAUUUGCAGCAGACUCAACCUGCUGUUCGCAGCACUGCGUAUCGGUACGCGAAAUUGCAUCACCGGUAAGCCCAUGUUCAACAGCCCAAACCUGAGAGCUGCUAUUCUUGGGUUGCUGCGGGGUAUAGGUACCAACCAAGGCUGUUACCGGUACGCAGCGCCCAGACCUCAAUUUUGGCAGUGCUUAGGCUCUAUUUAGCGUCGAGCAACGCUAAAACCUAUCAAUCUCACUUGGAACUCAACUUUAACCCCUCCAACAUCGCUGGAGUGUUGAAUGGAUUUUGUCCAACCAUCUCUCUCACCACGUUUUGGUCAAUUUGACUAAAGUUCGAUAUAACCUACCGAGAUUCGAUAUAUUACAAAGUUGUCCUUCAUCCUCACCAUCAUUUAAUAUAUUUAAUACAAACUUUCAAUCUAUUAACUUAUAUGAAUUCCUAAUGUUUUUUGUUACGUGGCAAGUUGUCCGUCACGCUCACCAUCAUUUAAUAUAUUUAAUACAAACUUUCAAUUAAUAUAUUUAAUUAAUACAUCUAAACAUUUCCAUUAUCAAACUUUUAAUGGCAAGUUGUUCUUCACCCUCACCAGCAUUUGACCAUUCCCUUUCCCUUCAUCAAACUUUCAAAUAAUACAUUUAAUUAAUACAUCUAAACAUUCGCACCACCAAACUUUUCCUCCACCAAAUUUUUUAUCUCUAAUUAAUUCAUCAAUUCUCUCUCCCUCAUCUUUUCCCAUACACCGUCACUUCCUUCCCUCCUCUCAUUAAUGUCUGCCCAUCUCCCCCCUCCGUUACGGACGAAGGAAUCGUCGUCUUUUUUACUAUCACCGUUGCCGGAGAAGGUGUCGUCGAUUUCAUCCCCGUUGCCAAUAGUGAGGGACUUUCGUGGCUGUGACAAAUGAGGUACUCAAAAAAAUAUUUGAUAUUCUCCUAUUAUUAAUUACUCCUAUAAUUUUUAUCCACUGCGAAACGCGGGUUAUUCCACUAGUAGAUAUUACUACCCAUAGAUAUUUAGCACUCUUAGAUUUAUAAAACAAAAAAAAAAAACAAAAUGUUUCGGCUUCGGGCUUGGGCCGGACUUCUUUGUUUUCACUAAUUUGGGCUAAAGUUCAAUGGCAUGGUAAUAUAAUUACUUUCGGGCUGGGCUUGGACUUGGGUUGAAACCCUUCUUUCGGGAAGUCACGUGUCACAACCCCUCUCCUAUUCUGGCCAGUCGUUAAUAAAAGAGAAACAAAGAGGAAGAAGAAGAUCCAGAUCGGAAAGGAGGACGCCGGGAGCCAAGAGUGAUGGGGACGACGAUCCAUUCGUUGGCGCCGGGGCUGUCUCGCAAGCUGAAGAAGGUGCUGGAGACGCGCACGGACAGCCCGGAUCUGCUGGCGUCGCUGGCCGCACUCUCCACCUUCUACAGCGACAACACCCCGCAGGCCCGCCGCAAUCUCAAGUCCUCCAUCGAGCAGCGCGCCCUCUCCAUCAACCGCCACUUCCUCGACGCCUCCCUUCCCGCCCAGCAGGUCUGCCCCUCCAUUCUGCCCUUGCCCUGCAUCCUCCUCUUCCCUCCUCCUCCUCCAUUCCUGCUUCUUGUAGACUCCGCUAUUAUUAUUGUUAUUAAUCCGAAGGAGGCUUUCGUGAUUUACAGGCGCUGGAUAGAGUCGAGAACGAGGUCAAUGCCUUGACCCAAUGCUGCGAUCAGUAAGUUUCCCCUUCUGUCCUUCUCUCGCUCUUCCGCAUCGACAAAUACAGUAGUUUGUUUCAACGUCUGCGCUGUUCUCUGACAUCUUUCCAUAGAAACCACUUGUUUUGUUUUCUUAUGCCGGGUUGUUGCUGAAGUAGAUAAUGACUUAGCGAUCUAGAAGUCAAUUCUCUGAAAAUUUCUUGUACCGCCGCCUGCCUUGAGAGAGCUUGCAAUUCGAAGCGCUGCAAGUUUAGCAGCACAUUUACAUUCAGCAAACUUGUCAUUUGUUUGGUAAUAUCUGCAUAUUAAAUGCUAUAAAGGAAUGUCUGAGAAAAGCAACAUCAGCAAAAUGUUACUACUGAUGGUAGCACGGUAGUAAAAAUCCCGUGAGAAAGAUGGGUUAACAUGCACCAGAAUUGGUGAACUGUAAAGGAGGAUGGUUUUGCAUGUCUUUGAAUCCUUUAUUUUAUUGGCCUUCCCUUUAAGAGAACCACACAAUGGCAUUGUGUAUUUUGGCGUACCUUGUUCUUUGUGAUGCAGUUGCUCUUCAAAUUUUUUACUUCUUCAUUUGCUUACUUCUUUUUACUGUUCGAUGUAUUUGGGUUUAUACUUUGUUAUUUGUUUUUGCAGAAUUGAGAAAGUAUUAAGCAAUUGUAGCGCAAGUACAGGAGAUAUCAUCAGCACUACAGAGAGGUUACAGCAGGAACUUGAGAUAACUACUCAACGACAAGAAAUUGUGUCAUGUUUUCUUCGUGAUUAUCAACUUUCAAAUGAAGAGGUACUGUGUAAAGAGUGACUAAGCUCCAAAUUAUAAUAUAAACUUUGUUAUGUACUGCAAAAUAUAUUAAUUGGAGUUCUGUCUUUAUCUAUAUUCUAUAAUUACUUUUGCUUAUCUGUCUAUAGAUAAAUGCACUUCGGGAGGAUGAGUUAAAUGACAACUUCUUUAAGGCACUUUCUCAUGUUCAAGAGAUUCAUGCCAACUGCAAGAUACUCCUGCGGACGCAUCACCAGGUAUACUCUUUGUUCCUCAUGAGAGUUUAUCUAUUAUCCAAUCAACUUUAAGCACAAAAUGCAUUUAUAAACUAGGAUAGUACUUGUCACGCCCCGGGACCGGCAAAGGCCCUCCCGGUAGCGUGCCCAUACCCGCCAUAUGUCAGCACAUAUAAGGCGUCUACAUCAACAGCGGAAAAUAAAACCAAAGAUAAUCAACAUCUAGUGAUAUCAGAGCACAAAUAGAUCUAUCAUCUACAACAAGGUAAAAGAAAAAUACUAAAGCAAUAAGAGUGAAACAUAUAGUUAUACAAUAUCUGUCCAAAAUAGUACACAACAGGGUGGUCUCUAAUACAUUGGUACAGCUCUCAACCUCUCCAAAGAAAACAAAUGGGAGGUGGACCACCACUCGCUAAAUCCCUCGCUAGCUAGCCCAAGGCGAUACCUUUCUCGCGAUCCCGAGCCUCUUCCGAAGUGGAAGGCUCUGAAAGAAGACAUAAAAUAGGGGGCAUGAGAACUAUAAAUUAUAGUUCCCAGUGGGCAAUUACUGACCUGCACCAAAUUGCACCACUAGGCCCAAAGCAUAAACAGAUAUAGAUAAGGAGAUGUAACUGCGGAAAAGAAAGCAUGUAGAGAAGGCUAUACAACAAUGCCACAAGUAUUCUGAAUGUCAACAUGGAGUAUAUCUACUCUACAUGAUCCAAUAUGCCGAAACUUAAACAAUAUGUUAUGAUGCAACAAGUAAUGCUAUGAAGUAUGCUAUAUGUGCCAAAGUCCACUACAUAUCUAGUAUGUACUAUCAUAGCAACCAAAAAUACUACAAUGUAAUAAGCGAUACUGUCAAGUAUACUAUAAGUCCAAAUGUCCAACUCUAUGCCAUAGCAUAUCAAGAGUUUAACUACUAUAACCUAGCUAGUAGCGAAUGUUAGCUUGUUGUUUAAUAUUCUGGUUCAAUCUCAAUCAGGAUCUACACGGGUGAAGUCCGGCUUGUGCCGCCUAAGUGCCUGUGGUAGCCCAACAUACCUGCUCUUGGAAUGUGUCUGUCCCACUCGACCCCGUAGGCUUCUCAAAACCGCACGAGCGAAUAUAAGUCGCGUAGGCCAACUCCGGAGUGCCGGCUUGUAGGGAGCGACCCUCACAAGCAUGUGCGAAUGAGCACAAAUGGCAAGCAAGCAUGGUCAAUACCUCAAUAGUCCAGUCGUCACGUCUCCAACAUGGUAAUAGCCACUCAACAGUCAUCAUGUCUCUAACAUGGCAAAAGUCACUAGCAUCUCGAAGAUCUAGUUUAAUGUCUCAAUGUGAAGAUUUAACCGUUCAAUAAAAAUUCUAUGUCAUUGACCUUAGAUUUACUAAGUCCAUAAGUAUUCUAAGCCUAAUGCCUCUUUAUGAUAUUAGCUCACUAGAUUCAUACAUGUCCCAGGCUCAAUGUCGCUUUAUGACAUUGGCUUAUCCCAUUAACAAUAGGUUAAUACGCAUGUUCUCCAAUGUGAUCUCAUAUUACUAAUGUGUACCACGCAUGCAUUCUACAAUGCAUAAAGAUGUUAACAUGUAUCUAUCCACAGAGCAUAGUUCUCAUAAUUAUUAACAUGCACAUGCAAUUCGCUUAUCCAUCAAGUCUAAUGUCCCUUUAUGGCAAUAGGUUUAUUAAGUUCACAUAUAUGCCAAGCCUAAUGCCUCUUUAUGACAUUAGUUUGAUAAAUCCAUAUCUAGUCCAAGCCCAAUGCCUUUUUAUGACAUUGGCUUACUAUACUAAGCAUGGGUCAAAGUCCAUAAGUGCAAUGCACACAUCAAUUUCACUAAAUGAAACAUGAUCCACAACUAAGUAUGAGAAUGCUAACCAUAGGCCCCAAGCCCAAUAUAAAAACUCUCUACUUUAUGGAUGUCAAAUAUGCAUCGUACAUAGCAUGUGCAUUUUAAGCAUUAUAAAAUUCUCAAAUAUUCUAUCAAGCAUGAUUAGGCGUGCAUUUUUAUUUUACGAUAAGCAAAACCAUCAAAUAAGAAUUUUAUUUCAUUUUGGUGAGGUCAAACCCACCGAACCGUCGCGUAGUCCCUCGUUUCGCCGAACGGAGUUGUCCACGAGUCUCUAAGCACCCUAAAAGUAAGGAGCGAAGAGAUACACAAGUAUUACGAGCAACUCUAGGCUCGAACAUUAACAAUCACAAGAAAAGGGUAAAAACUCACCUAGGGAGUAGAAAAUCUUUCCCAAGCUCCAAAAGAGAGCUAAAUCUCUACCAAUCCAACCCAAAGGAGGGUUCUAAUCCAAGUAAUCAAGCUCCAAAAGCCCUAAAUUUAAAAUGCCCAAAAUAAACCCUAAGUCUCUAUUCUAGGGUUUCAUCUCAAAAAUUCUAACAAAACAAGGAUCAAAAGGAGAAAACAAGUUUCUAACCUCUCAAGAAGCCCCCAACUAGGGUCCAAAUCAAAAGGGGUUGAAGUUCUCCUCUCCAAUAAACUCCUCUCCAAGAUCCAAGCCUCUAACAAUGGUGAAGUUGGCACCAAAGAGCGAAAAGAGAAGUUUAAUCUCUUAAAAUCCCACCAAAAUCCAAGAAAAUCAAAAGGAAAAUCAAGGAGGGAUCCCUUACCUCUAUUCCUGCUGUGGCAAGCUCAGGAGAAAGCCCUAGGGGCGUGGGGUGCUAUAUAGAAGACCACAAUUGCGAAAAACUCCCUGCAGUUCAAACUGCUCAAAAACUGCCACUGUGUACCGGUACACGGGCCCCCGUACCGGUACACAUCCCACGAAAAUGCCAAACCCGAGCCUCGGGUUGGCUGGGAAGCUGCCUGUGUACCGGUACACGAUCCCGUACCGGUACAACCAUCAACCCUGUACCGGUACAGCCAUCAACCCUGUACCGGUACGCAGCCUGCUGAAGGCUACCCGAGAGCUGAGCAAAAAUCCGACUUUUCGGGUUUUGGUGCAAAGCUUCAAACCUCAAUUCUCGGGGUACAACCAUAGGUUGGAACACUGUCAACGACCCUCCAGAAUAACUGGAAAAAGCUCGUAUCAUAGAUUAAACACUCGAACCCGCAAUUUGCAAAAAUCCAGUGUGUUACAGUACUGGCUUCCCGAAAAGAUUUGACUCGUAUGAUAAAGCAACAAAAUUUUGGACUUGAGCCUCCACUUGUUUUGCUUGAAUAAGUGCAGAUCCUGAUUCUUUCAGUCAUGCAUUGAAUCCUUAAACUUGCAAAUUGUGCUUCUUGGUUCUUUUGAUGUAAAAGUUUGUACUUUAAAUCUUUUGCUGUACAUGUGCUUGCUCUCUGUGCCAUAUAAAUCAGAUUGUGAAUGUGCCUAGUCAUCUGCAUCAUAUCUUUAACAGCUUAUACAGUUCAGUUCGCUGCAUUUUACUGUUUGUGGUCCCUUUGUUGUCCUGACUGUGAAUGAUUCAGCAUCUUUAUCUUUCCAUAUUUUAUUUAACAAUCUUUAUUUUCUCUUUUUUUUUAUUUAACGAAUAUGUUCAAUCUUGCCUUCUUCGUGAGGUGUUUUCUUGCCCAUUAAUUUAAAAUUUAACAAUCUUUAUUUUCUCUUUUUUUUAUUUAACGAAUAUUUUCAAUCUUGCCUUCUUCGUGAGGUGUUUUCUUGCCCAUUAAUUUAAAAAAUGUCUCAAUGGAGCAAGGUUUUACAACUUACAACCAUGCCAUUUGGGUAUGCAAUGCACUCAAGAAAAUGAUAUUUGUGAUGGUGCAUGCAUAGGUUCCUUGGUACAUACAUAUAUGUUCUGAUGUGUUUGGCUUAAAAAUAUUCAAGUAUUCAAUCUUUGGCAGUUUGAUGGAAAUUCAGAUGCUUAAGCAAUUUAUAGAGAAAAUACAGUGUGUAUAAGAACUUUUUUUUUAUCCUGGUCAUAUAUAAUUGUUAUGUAUUAGUGUUUCGGCAUGAACUUGGCUGAUAUUUCCUUUGCACAGCGUGCUGGUUUGGAGCUCAUGGAUAUGAUGUCUGUUUACCAAGAAGGAGCCUAUGAGAGAUUGUGCAGGUAGUAUCUGUAUUUUAUUGUACUAGUCUUGCUUAAUCAUCAUUGUGCAGGUCGUAAUUAUAUCUGAUUCUAUAUGUCUCCCUUGAACAUCUAAAGUUAAACUAUUCUGCUAGUUCUUGUUGGCUGCUUAUGUCUGCAGGUGUUAUGUCUUGAUAUGUUGAUUAGACAAGGUUCAACUGAGUCUACUAUUGAUAUUUGAUGAUAGUCGGCCUUAUGAAUCACCAUAUUUGAAUUCUUGAAUGUUUAAAUUCUGUCAUAUCUUCGCAUGCUCAUAAUAGUGUGAAUUGCUGUUGAUUUGCAUGCUGCAGAUUAUAGUCAUAUGCAGCCAAAGAUUGAGAUGCUUCUUGAAUUUUGUUAUUAAAACAUUUGAUUUCUAAUUUUAAGUAAUGGACUAUGUGCUGAUAACCUCUGAAUUUUGAGUGGUUAGUAAACCUCAAUGUUAAUAAGAUUAUAUUAGUUUGGUUAAUCAUUGAUGAGGGCAUGAUAUUCGAUCUGUUAACAAAUUGGAUUAAGGAAGAAGCUUUCUUUUUUAAUUUCUAGAAAUUUCUAGAAAUUCCUAGAAAAUUGGAUUAUUUAUAGAAAUUCCAAAAAAUCUGAAAAACUCUUGAAAACUUUAUCAAAAUUUCAACAAAAUCUAUUAAAACUACUUCCUUCACAACGCAUCCUUUCUUUCACUCUAAGGCACCAGAAAGCCCACUCCCUCCCUAGCAAUCUAGAAAACCUAUAUUUGUAAAAUCCACCUCGUAGGACCCUCUAUCCCAUCGUAUAUCAUUAGGGUCUUCAUGCCUUCUGAGAAUAUUGCUAUAUUGAAUGUUUUUAAACAUGGUCUAAAUUGCUAGGAGUGCACUGAAUUUUUUUCUCUAAUCCUGAAAGAUAUGGUAAAGCUGCUACGUGAUAACCAACAGCGGAAUGUUAAACAACAAAGAAAAGAUUGAUACUAGGAGACAGGAAGAAAUAAGGUGAAAUGGUUGACAAGGGUUGACAUGGAAUAAGAAAUAGAGCUGGGAAAAUGUGAAGACGGCCUAUACUCGGCUUAUAAUUUAAGAAUUCAACUCAUAAUCCUGUCCAUCUUUUAGUUACCUGCAAUAAACUCAUUUUGGCUAGCCUAAUUGUAAUGUAAGUUUGCUCUAGGACAUAAAAAUUGGUCCAAUUAAAGAAAGAAAAAAAAAACUUGAGAUUAAUCAAUUUACCAUGGUUAAAAUUUUAAGUACUGUCAAUUUUUUGUUUUCUUAACAUAAGAUACAGCUAGGAUUGCAAAAAUUAGUAGUUUGAGGAAAAUAGAUCCCAGUAAGAUUGGGCCCCUUGACAUUGGAUAGUCAAGUAGUAUAAAUGUAUAUAUCUGAUUCAUGUAGGCCAACAAAAUUCCGUGUGAUUUCUUUUAUGAUCGUAUCUGACUAUCCUUUUCCAGGUGGGUCCAAGCUGAAUGUAAAAAAUUGGGUGAUAGUGAUAAUCCGGAAGUCGAUGAUCUUCUUAAAAAGGCUAUUCGUUGUCUAAAGGAAAGGCCUGUUCUUUUCAAGUACUGUGCAGAAGAGGUAUGGAGUAUGUUCUGAUUGAUUGCAAUCCCUUUCAGCAGUUAAGAUCUAAUGGUGAAUGACCCAUGUGCCUUAGGUCGCAAAUAUGAGGCAUCAUGCUUUAUUUAGACGGUUCAUAAGUGCUCUUACUCGAGGGGGACCUGGAGGGCUACCAAGACCAAUUGAAGUGCAUGCGCAUGAUCCUUUACGCUAUGUAGGUGAUAUGUUGGGGUGGCUACAUCAGGUGUGUCUCUUAUUCUACUGCAAAGUUCGGUAAAACAGCUUUAUCGCUUUAUCUUACUUUGUCAAUUUUGGUUGUAUGAGAAGGCUCUAGCAUCUGAAAGGGAACUUAUAAUUGCGUUACUCGAUCCGGAUGCAAUGACUGAUACUGGACCUAUUGCUCACCGUCUUUCCGGAAAUACAGAUAGUGAUUCUCUGAAAACAGAGCCUGCGAUAACCUUUGUUCUGGAUAGAAUAUUUGAAGGGGCAUGUCGACCAUUCAAAGUUCGAGUUGAGCAAGUUUUGCAGUCUCAACCUAGCCUCGUUGUCUCUUACAAACUUAGUAAUACUCUGGAGUUCUACAGUUCUACAGUGAGUUUGAUCUGUAUGUCAUCAUUUACUAAAUUCAAUGUCUCACGGGUCUUACAUACUCUUUUCCUUCUGUAGAUAACAGACUUGUUGGGCAGAGAAACAGCUCUUUGCAAUACACUCUGGGCACUCAGAGAUGCUACUCAGCAAACAUUCUUCAAUAUUUUGAAGUCUCGGGGAGACAAACUGCUGAGGUACCCUCCUCUUAUUGCUGCUGAUCUAUCUCCACCGCCAGCCCUUCGGGAAGGAAUUUCUUUGUUGCUUGAGCUCAUAGAUACAUACAAGAGAAUGAUGGUACCUGCCUCUGGCAAAAAGCCUGAUUUUGAUUUUGUAAUUACCACUUUACUUGAUCCCAUUAUUCAGGUGAGGAGUACUUUUCCUCCUUUAAUUCUUGCUUGCUAAAGUUUGAAGUUCUCUGCAAUAUUUGUUCCCUACAAAUGUUGUGAAUCAUUUAUCAGGCAACUACAGAUAUUUUACUUUGGAAAUUCAAUGUUCUGAAAUGCAGUAUGCGGUAUUCUUGCAGUUGGCACAUAUGUGGUCCAGCUAUUAAAAUAUUAGAAAAUAUUUAUAGCUAUUAAAAAUAUAUAAUUAUAUAUAAAUGCUUUCCAACAAAGUAAAAUAACUAAGGUAAUAAUUCAGAAUUCACAAAUUGAAAUAAUUAAUUUCAAGUAACGGAACUCAUAUGCACACAUGUACCAAUAAACUAAUUAGCAAUUUACACUUAAGUAGAUAAAUAAAUAGAAUUUUGACAAAAAAUCAUAAAAAUUGUCAAACAAGUAUUAAUGUUCCAAAAAGCAGCAUACUAAACUUUUAUGAAGAAUAAUAAUUUUUCAAUAAUCAUUCAUGUCAUCAAACACGUCAUCAUUUAUAUAUAUAUAUAUAUAUCAAAUAACAUCCGACAACUACAAAAUUAUUCACUAAUAUUUAUAAAUAUAAUUAUUGGAUAUAUUAGGUAUAAUACCUACUAAAAUAAGAAGAGAGAUAGUUAAGUUAUAUUUAUAUAAAGAUAAUUGCAUUUCUAUGCAAUAUUAUUAACUAAACUUGUAUGAAGCAUAUGCGGGCUCAUAUGAGGCCGCCAACCGCAUAUGUACCGCAUAUGGGGUCGGGCUGCAUAUUGCAUAGCAUGUUACAUAUGCAGUGUAGUUGAUGGUCCGAAUCGCAUAUUUGGCCGCAUAGUCUGCUUUUUCAAACAUUAGAAAAUUCCUUAAGGUUUAACUGAUUCGUGACUUUAGUAUUGUAUGCAUCUCUUGGUCUUUAAAAUAACCAAUAAAAGUUACCCUUUUCUUCACCAACUAAUUACAAUUUUCUUUUUUUCUUUUACCCCUCUGGCAAUAAGUUCUCCCUUUUAAAAUUAACUUCGAACUGUGAAUUCAUGUGAGUAUUGAUAGGAGUAUAAAGCAUGAAUAAUGAAUUUGAGCUAGACUUCUCAAGGAGAAGAUACUUAUCAAUUAUAUAGAAAGCUGUUACCAUGUUGAACGCGAGGGUGAAUCUCUUUCUGAUGCUUCAAACUUGUUAUUAUCAAUGUCGAACUGCAAAUUUACAUGCGCACUGAUGUAGGUAUGGUGCAUGAAUUUGAACUAGACAUCUCAAUGAGAAGAUAUGUUUCAAAUAGAAAGAGAGGUGCUAAUAUCUGGGUGAAUAUCUGUCUUGUGUUUUAGACUUCUUAGAGAGACACUAGUGUUACCUGUCUGAUCAGUCUAUAUAGAUGCUGGUGUUAACCAUGUCUCCCCUCUCAGUUGAUGUGCGUUUGCACUAUAAUUGUACAGGACAUCUAGGUCUACCUGUUACUAUUAAGUGGUUUGCGGCUGACAUUGCCUAUAUUAAUGUAUUACAAUUCGGAGCAUGAUAUACUCAUAUAUUUUAAGAAAAAGGAAAAAUAGGAAAUGAUUACUCUUCAGAGUCUUUAGUUGUUGGUUUAUUUGCGCUGACAAUUCAAAUGUUUUUAUAGAUUUGUAUUCAAGAGAACCUGUGGGAAUCAAGUUUUUGUCUGUUUAAUUGGGGCAACACUUAGUAUGCUUUUUUCACUUGCAUCAUGUAUGUUCCUUUUAUACAGCCACUCCAUGUUCAAUUUAUCCAGCCUUUGCACUUACAUAAUGGUCUAAUAUCAAUGGAAGGUAUUAGUGGAAGGAGUGUGGAAGGGGCCAUGAAUGAAAUAUAAUUUGAUUUCUUCAAUUGGUGUUUUCAGGAAACAUCCGGUUAAAUUCAAUCAGCUAAAAGUUGCAUAUCAUCAUUAAAUCAUGUAUAUUGGACCUCAUGAUAUCCUUUCAUGAGAUUAUCAUAUGUUUCUUUAUUAGCGAAUUAUUUGGAAUGGUUGAAGUUGUCUCUUGCAUCUAUAAUUGAUUUCCUCCCAAUUCAUGGAUGAAAGAAACUUGUCUGUUCUGCUUCUUUCUUGUGAUUUCGGAGUUGUUUUGUGCUCUCCAUAGGCUUCAAAAUGAAGGUCUUUAUGAUUGGCUAAAAUUUGUCAGUUGUAACUUGAAUUAUUAUUUUAUCUUUUAGAUGUGUGAAAAAGCAGCAGAGGCCCAGAAGUCUAAAGGAGGACAUUCAAGGAGAAGAACUAGUUCUGAUCCUAGUCCAAAUAUCAGAGAGUCCUUAUCUGUUGAUGCUAUUCUUGCCAAGAGUGUCUCUACGUCAACGCAGGUUUCUUUCUUUGGAUUAUUACUUUUACAGUAUACUUCCGGCAAUCAGUCAAUUUUAUUUUUAUUCUUGAUCAGUAAUACUCUUCAGCUAUGUUUGUGACAAAAAGGAUCUACUUCAUAUAGCUUGAGUAUCGUCCUGCAAGACCCUAAUCAUUUUGGAUAUUAUAUCUCAUGAUAUAUGAUUUAAUACGUGGAAAAAUAUUAAUUUGCAAGUCUUUAAUAAGCAUUUGUAUUGAAAAGUAUUUCUGGGUAUGGCACAUAUUAUGUAGCAUCAUUUGUAAUGGUAUUAUCUAUAACCCUACAACACCUGGCUUUGUUGCUCAGUCAUAUAACAUCACAUUCCAUGCAUGGUAAUUUAUGCUAAGUGUGCAGUCUAUUAUCUAUCUAUACCUAUAUAUGAUUUCUCAUGGCUAUAUGAUUUCUCUUGGCCAAAUCCAACAUGGAUGUACCACCUUCAUUUGAGGAUGGUGGGACCCACUAUUUGUUUUAAAUUAUUUUCUAUUCUCUUUUAUCGUAGUAAAACCCUUCCUCUCCCUCACAGCCACAUCCUUCAACUCUCUUUCUCUCUCUCUUUUCUUUUUCCUCCCAUUUCUUACUUUCCAUUAUCUCCCAAACCGAUAGACGAUAGUGGCGUCUCUCCCUCUCCCCUCACCUACGUAGCGAUUUUGGAUCUCUCUACCCAUGAUUUUAGAUUUUUCUUUUUCCUUCCCCUUUUUUCUCUCGCUCGUCGCUCGGAGUCGUUCGGCCUCCAUCCGCUGCUCCUUAUGCGUCCUCGACAAGGAUAUUGUAUGGUGCCAUCGCCGACUGCCCCAUUCUCAACAAUCAUGAAAUAUCUAUAUUCCCAUGUUUUCAUUUUUUCCAUAAAUUUUUAUUUUUUCUAUUAUCUACCCAUCGCAUUGCGCGGAUUACUUCACUAGUGUAGCAUUAUUAGUGAUGGUACUAUUGGUUACCCUACUACCUGGCUUUGUUGCUAACUCAGUUAUAUAACAUCGCAUUCAAUGGUUAGUAAUUCAUGCUAAGUGUGCAGUCUAUUGUUUGUCUCUAGUACAAACUUCCAUGUGGAAAUCUUAACCCAGUGCUCACAAAAUCUCUCGUGUAAAGAUUUCUCAUCUACCUAUGACUAAUUUAUCCUCAACAGUGUUCAUAUGCCUAUCAGCUAGGUUCCUCCUUGGAAUAGACUUCCUAGCAGGGCCACUUGAGCGAACCCUCCAAUAUUCACCCUACAAAAUGCAUUUAUGUUCCUUGCGGCAGCAACUCAAUAAGUCCAUGCGUUGGCGCCAAGCAUCUGAAUGUAGUUAAUGAAUGGGAGAAAUUUUUUAACACACUUCUUUCCUUUGCAAAUUCAUAUGCUUAAAAUUGCUAAGAAUAAUGAGAUGAGAAAGACAAACAGUUUGAAAAAGUCUGAUUGAAGAAUAUUAAUGACUAAGCUUUUGCAAUUGAAAUACCAUCUCUGCGAGGAUGGAGAAACUGUUUGUAAUCCUUGCAGAAACUGUUUGUAACCAGCUUACUUGACUAACCGUGAUCUUGCUUAGUUCCCUCUAGGAAAAGUUGAAAAGCUAUUAUGGCCACCAUAUUACCAGUAACUUGGUGCAUGCUCCUCUCAAAUAUUUAAAACAACCAUAGAUACGAAGAUUCUCAUUUGAAAUUGAUAUUCUAAUUGGCUGGUUAAAUCUCUGAAACUACAUGUUGUGGAUAAUUGUUACUCUAUAGACCAUUAUUUUAGUUACUUCUUUGUUAGUUGUGUGUUUUGAUAUCUUAGUUCUGAUUUCUCUUUUUGUUACUAUAUUCUUAUUGCAGAGUGUUGAAACUUCGUCAAAGAUCUACCUCAUCAACUGUUUGUCAGCUAUUCAGGAACCUUUGAUAGGAGAAGAGGUUGCUGCAAGUUAUGUGAGUAACUUGUGCUCUGCUAUUGAGAAGCACAUUAGUAUCCUUGUGGACGACGAAGUUGAUGCCAUUUUGCGGAGAUGCGGUCUGCUGAAUAAGAUGAUGUACAUACAAGACUCUGCUGACUCUGCAGUUAGUUCUACUAAUGAUGAGCCUCGGCCCUUGGCAGAAAUUGAGGAAAUGUCACCGCAAGUGCUUUCCGAAUGUUUAACAGCAUUCUUUGGUCUGGUGACUGGAAGUGAAGGCUCACUCCCGGAGUUUGAGCUGUUGCAAGUCCCUAGGCUGCGUUUGGAUGCAUGUUCUCGUGUGGCUAGGGCAUUAGCAGGAACUUAUGAUCUCAUCUAUCAGGCAGUGUCGGACCCGAAGAAUCAUUAUCCAGACCCUAGGUCCUUAGUGAAGCAUUCGCCGGAUCAUAUACGAACCAUGUUGGAAAUCUGAAACCUUUGUCAGUAACUGUAUGCCUGAGUGUAGUUAGUAUCAUUUGAUCUAUCUUGUUACUGCUUUUGCUUGGCUGGGCAAACUGCCUUUACUGUAUAAAUUUCCGUUCAAACCAUUAUGUUUUCACAAAUAUGAAUCAAUUUUUUGUUGUUCUGUAAUAUCAUUUUGAAAGUAUCGGAGAAAGGUUCCCAAUUUUCAGGUCUGCAUGCUAGAUCUACUUGACACUUUGAACUGGUUAAUGUUUUCUUGAGAGGAUAAGGCGCAACAUUUUCUGUUUCCUGACAGAUUUAAGUGCAUUGACGACAAGUUAGUUAUACAAUACGUUAAAAUUUGGUGAUUGUCCAGUCCUAUGUUAUCAAGAAAUUUGUAAGUUUUUUAAUCUUUUUGUGCUGUGCAAGAGGGAUUAUUACAACCUUUUUUAAGUCGCACACUGACUGUUGGAAUAGCGCCUGUGAGAAAGUGAGGUAGAGAGAUUGAGUUUAGCUUCAAGACGUGCAGCAAUUAUACUCUUCUUAAGACUCAAUCCGUUUACAUCAAACAUCUAAAUUGGUGCGUCCUAGAUUAUCGAACAAUCUCUCAAGAUAUAAUGAAGCACAAUCACUAGCUGCGUUUGCCCAGACAAUUAAUUCUUUGAGCACUUUCAAAGUGUAGCAAAGUUGUCAAUGUAAUUUGAUUUCUGCAGUAGUUGUAUCAAGUAAAAGAAGUAGAGCAUUACCGGAGAGUAAUUAACUUGAAAUGAUUGGUUUUUCUUAGUCUUAUCAUUUGGUCGCCAUCACAGCACAGGCACUUGUCAUUUGGUGGCCAUCACAACAAACACACACACACACACACACACACACACACACACACACACAUGGUUUUAAAGUCUGUCGGUUGCAACAUAAUUACAAAUGAGUCGUUCAUUUCAUUCAUCUCUGUAUUUUCAAUCAAAUGAUAACCGCAAUAUAACGCCCGGUAAUAAUUCUAAUUCAAUUUGUUAGUGUGAAUUAAUUUUUUUCUCAACAUUUGUGAUACCUCAAGAAUUUGAAAUAAUUAUGACAAAUCUUUUAAUCGAUCUAUAAUAUUUUAUGUAGUGGCUAUAUUUGGACUAGAGUAGUUUUAGAAUAAAUGACUCUCUUUAGAAAGCGGGACGUCUAUAAUAAUCUGGCCUACCAACAAUAAUAACUGAUUGGACCAAACCAUCGGCCCAAAAUAUUUAAGCCUAGUAAUUAUUACUAGUGUUCAUGGUCUCUUAUAUAUCCAAUUUAGGCCAAAGCCCUAUCACACAACCCAAAAUCAUCAGGUGAUGUGAGCCUUGUCUCACCAGCCUUGUACUCUUCUGGUGAUUGACUUUGAUACCAAAUGUAACGACCCAGUCCACUACAAAUAAUAAGCUCAGUUAUUAUUAUCAGUUUCCAUAUUCUCUUAUAUACCCAAUUACAACUCUAUAUUCUCUUAUAUACCCAAUUACAAUUCUAUUUUCAUAAGAUGUGGGGGUGUUACAAUGUUACACAAUUAUUACAUUUUACACACUGAAGAUUAAAUAGUCUUCAUCAAUUCUAAAGUAAUGCCCCUACUACUAUCGUUAUUACAUUUCACAAACCAACGAUUAAAUAGCCUUCAUCAAUUCCAAAGUAAUGCCCCUACUAAAUAGGUGCAUCUAUUUGAAGUAAGAUUUCAUGUCAAGUACAUAGUUGUCAUAAAACCGACUUAUUAAAUGCAUCAACCAUUCAAAGAAUAAUAACUAUUCUUUAGGCCAAACCGAAUAGAUUUUAUUUGCUAUUAAUAAAAUAGGAACAUUUUCAAUUUUAAUUAAUUUAAAAGUUCUCUCAAAAAGAUGAUCUUAUUCCUAGAUUUUAGAACUUCGAGGUUUCAUAUAUUUGCGCUUAGUGCGGCAAGUGCUGAUUUGGCGAAUCGAGUUAGUUUGUGCAUUGACAAAGCCCUUAGCAGGUUCCUCCACGCCGUGCACAGCAAAAAGUUAAAGAAUAUACCACUAUAAAAUCUGAUUGUAAUUAAGCAAUCUAACACCGACCGUCCCUAGAGCAAGUGGCAAAGGGCUUGGUGGUUGGUAUCCGAGACCCAAGUUCGAAUCCUAGUUGAUUCACAUUUCUAGCUAAGUUUAUUUCUAUAUGAAAAUAAACAAAGUGGGUAGCGUGCUAUCUAUCUCUCAAAAAAGAAAAAAAAUUAAGCAAUCUAACUAAUUCGUGAUAAUUUCAGAAAAUUGAACUCACAAAGGAGUGCUACAACUUGAAGGAAAACGAACUACAAAACUUUUAAUCUGAAAGCGUGUGAGGUGCUGCCCUCAAGCAUAUUUUCAUCCUUCAUGCUGGAUUAACUAAAAACAACACUUCAAGAUACGACCGAAAUUCCUCAUAUAUAUAUAUAUAUAGAGAGAGAGAGAGAGAGAGAGAGAGAACUAAGUUGAAAUACUAUUAAUUGCACCAAUGACUUAGGGGUAUUAAGUUUUCUGUCCUUGAAUUAAAAGAUGUGCUGUUAGGAUGAUGUGGGCCCCCUAGGGUUGAGUGGGUGGUAAAAAUACUUCGUGCUAUCAAUAGUAUUCCAGCCAGACUAUCUAUCUAUCUAUCUAUAUAUAUAUAUAUAUAUAUAUAUAGAGAGAGAGAGAGAGAGAGAGAGAGAGAGAGAGAGAGAGAGAGUCCGGCUACUAUACUCUUAUGAGUACGAUUGCCCUCGUACUCAUAAGUUGUUUUCGAUGAUAGAGCUUCCGAAUCGACGAUCCAUACAGUUAAACAUUAUCUAGAGCAUUUAAAACUUUUAGAAAUCAAAUUUCAUAAUUUUUCGACAUCAUUUACCUUACGAUCAAAAGCUCACAAAAUUGAUAAUUUUUAACGGUCGGUAUGGGAUAUUUGCUAGUUUAACGGUGUAAAAGAAUUAGAAUAGGUUGAAUUUUGAUAGAAAAUCUAUUCACUACCUAGAUAAAGAUCAAUAACUCUGAUCUAAAAUUGAAGGAUCCGAUCAUCAUUUUUAGGACGUCGUUCGAUUUGACCGUUCAUUUUAUGCCCGUUUGUGGAUUUUAUUAUGAUUUCAAAAAUUAUGAAAUUAUUUUUAGAAGUUUUAAAUACUUUAAUCAUAUUUAACGGAGUGGAUCGUCGAUUCAGAAGCCCCAUCAUCGAAAACAACUUAUGAGUACGAGGGCCAAAUCUCAUAAGAGUGUUAUUAUAUAUAUAUAUAUAUAGAGAGUGAGGCUACUAUGCUAUCGAAGCACGGAGCCUUCCGUGCUUCCAGCUUCGUUUCGAUGUUGCGACUUUCGAAUCGUCGAUCAGCUCCGUUAAACUUGAUCUAGAGUUUUGGAGUACUAGAAAAUAAAUUUAUUAUUUUUCGAUACCAUUUGCCUAGUGAUCGAAUGGGCUCAAAAUCAAAACAAUUUCAAUGGCUGUAGUGAGCCGUUUGCAAGUUUAACGGUGUAGAAAUAUCCAAAUCACGUGAAAUUUUGAUAGAAAUUCUUUAUACUAUAUAAAACAAGAAUCAAUAUUUUGAUUUAAAAUUUAAUGUCAUAUUAUUAUAUGUUGUAAGAUUUUUAUUUUCAGUCGUUGAUUUUGAGCUCCUUCAUUCAAUAGGCAAAUAUAUCGUAAAUUAUAAAAUUUAUUUUCUAGGUACUUCAAAUACUCUAGAUCAAGUUUAGGAGCCGAUCGACGAUUCGAAAAUCGCAACAUCGAAAACGAGCUGAAGACGGAAGGCUCCGUCUUCCGAUAGCAUAGUAGCCUCACUCUAUAUAUAUAUAUAUAUAUAUAUAAUAUAUAUAUAUAUAUACACUCUUAUGAGUACGAUUACCCUCCGUACUCAUAAGAUGAUAGAGCUUCCGAAUCGAUGAUCCAUACUGUUAAACGUUAUCUAGAGCAUUUAAAAUGUCUAGAAAUCAAAUUUAUAAUUUUUUGACAUCAUUUACCUUAUGAUCAAAAGCUCACAAAAUUGAUAAUUUUUAACGGUCGGUAUGGAAUAUUUGCUAGUUUAACGGUAUAAAAGAAUCGAAAUCGGUUGAAUUUUUUAUAUAAAAUUUUCUUCACUACAUAGAUAAAGAUCAAUAACUCCGAUCUUAAAUUGAAGGAUCCGAUCAUUUAUUUUUAAGACGUCGUUCAAUUUUGACCGUUCAUUUUAUACCCGCUUGAUGAACUUUAUUAUGAUUUCGAAAAAUUACGAAAUUCAUUUUUUAGAAGUUUUAAAUACUCUAGAUCAUAUUUAACGGAGUGGAUCGUCGGAAGCUCCAUCAUUGAAAACAACUUAUGAGUAUGAGUAUAGUAGCCAUAGCUUGUAUAUAGAGUUGAGCUAGAAUACUCCCAAAAGCACAAAGUGGUUGGUGCUUUUGUGUUUUUAGCCUUUGGAUGGAAAGAUGUAGGGUUGUGAUGAUGGUGGUAGAUGGUGGUAGGUGGAAUAAUGUUUGAUCCAAAGGCUAUUAGUAAUCAAGGAGUAGAUCCAAGGGCUAAAAACAUAGAAGCAUCAAGGGGUUGGUGCUUCUAAAAGUAUAGUAGCCGGACUCAUAUAAAAUUAUGAAAUUUGAUUUCUAAAAGUUUUAAAUGCUCUAGAUAAUAUUUAACGGUAUGGAUCGUCGAUUCGGAAGCUCAAUCAUUGAAAACAACUUAUAAGUACGAGGACAAUCGUACUCAUAAGAGUAUAGUAGCCGGACUCAUAUAUAUAUAUAUAUAUAUAUAUAUAUAUAUAUAUAUAUAUAUAUAUAUAUAUAUAUAUAAGUUGCAGCUAGAAUACUACUCCGAAUAGCGAAAACGGGUUCCUUGCCACCCAUUUGUUUCUGAGGAUAGAGCUUUAAAUCGACGAUCGCACCAUUGAACAUGAUCUAUACCAUUGAAUGUUUAGAAAUUAAAUUUUAAAUCUUUUCGAUAUCAUUUGCCUAAUGUAAUGGGUUUUCAAAAUUUGUAAUUUUAAUGGUCGAUAUGAGCGUUUCUCAUUUAACGUGUUAAGAUAUCAAAUCAAUUAAAUUUUUGUUAGAAAAUUCUUUAAACUAUUUAAAACAAGAUCUAUACUUCUUGAUCUUGAUUACCAGACUCCUAUCAUCAUUUUUUAAAGAAUUUAUUUUUAGUCGUUUAUUUUGUGUCUACUCGAUGGAUAAGAGAAUAAUAUCGAAAAUAUAUUGAAAUUUUGAUUUCUAAACACUUCUAGUGUAUAGAUCAUGUUCAACGUGCCGAUCGUCGAUUUGGAGGCUCUAUCGUCUAAAACAAAUGGUGACAACCGAGCCCAUUUGCGAUCGAUAGUAUUCUAGCUCAACUCUCUCUCUCUCUCUCUCUCUCUCUCUUUCUCUCUUCUCUCUCUCUCUACUCUCUCUCUCUCUCUCUCUCUCUCUUAUAUAUAUUAUAUAUAUAUAUAUAUAGGCCGUGGCUACUAUACUAUUAUGAGUAUUGGAGCCCUCGUACUCAUAAGUUGUUUUCGAUGAUUGAGCUUCCAAAUCGACGAUCCACUCUGUUAAAUAUGAUCUAGAGUAUUUGAAACUUCUAGAAAAUAAAUUUCGUAAAUUUUCGAAAUCAUAAUAAAGUCCAUCAAGCGGGCAUAAAAUGAACGGUCAAAAUCGAACGACGUCUUAAAAGAGGAUGAUCGGAUCCUUCAAUUCAAGAUCGGAGUUAUUGAUCUUUAUCUAGGUAGUGAAUAGAAUUUUUUAUAAAAAAUUCAGCAAAUUCCGAUUCUUUUAUACCGUUAAACUAGCAAGUAUCCUAUACCGGCCCUUAAAAAUUGUGAAAUUUGUGAACUCUUGAUCGUAAGGUAAAUGAUGUCGAAAAAUUAUAAAAUUUGAUUUCUAGAAGUUUUAAAUGCUGUAAAUAACGUUUAACGGUAUGGAUCGUCGAUUCGGAAGCUUUAUUAUCGAAAAUGAUUUAUGAGUACGAGAGCGAUCGUACUGGUAUAGUAUAUAGUUUGAGUAUCCUAUAUAUAUAUAUAUAUAUAUAUAUAUAUAUAUAUAUAUAUAUAUAUAUAUUUUCAAUUCAAUUUGGUUUCUGUUUUUGGGCCGAAAAGACUUGAUAACCAUACCGAACAGGCUCUUUCAGCUUGGUUUUUCAGAAUACGGGGUAACGUUGCAUUGCACGGAUGAAUUGGUUCCCAACCCAGACCCGCGCCCACCGGUAGGUCCCUGACCGAUUAGCUUACGAACCCUGUUAGUUAUGCUUGUGUUUUACAUUAUAGUUUCGCCAGCAUGAUUAGCAUCGCCUGCUCCUUCUGAUUCCCGAAGAUUGCUUGCUUAAAAAAUUAAAAUUAAAAAUUAAAAAUUCGAAAUCCCGACUGCAGCAGUCAGCAUCCAUCCGUCGGAGGUGACUGGUGAGGGUGAGGAGAUGGUUCUGGUGGUGAACGGCGGCGGCGGGGGCGGGGAUCAGCACCAGAUGUUGGUGCUGAAGGCGCAUGCCACGAUGGCGGUCGUCCAGGUCAUCAGCGCCGGCUACCACGUCAUCGCCAAGCUCGCCCUCAACGUCGGCAUGAACCAAGUCGUCUUCUGCAUCUUCCGCGACCUCAUCGCCCUCUCCAUCCUCGCCCCCAUCGCCUUCUUCCGGGAGAGGUAUUUCAAUCAGCAAUCCCAUCUCUGCUGGCCUUCUUCCUUUCUACUUUGCGGUUCCAUUUAUUCCGAGAAUCCGCACAGAGGGGAAUCAUCAGCAUUAUAUGGAUAAUUUAUUAUGCAAAACAAAGAAAUUUCUACCACGAAUCCAGAUUAAAAUAUUAUCCCCUUCUUUUAUCCUCUUUCUAUUUUUGUAAAAAUUGGUGCCCUGUUAUUUCGCCCGGCAGACAGCACCCAUUCUGUCUUGGCUGAUUCCUUGUUGAAGUGAAUACUUGCCUUAAUCGCCUACGAGCACCGACCCCAUCUUCUCAAUCUACAGAAAAUAUGUGCCCUACUGGUUGCAUGCCCGAAACUUGGGGCAACCAAAAAAAAAAAAAAACAUAGAUCUAAUUGUUCUUCUUCAGCAGAAAACCUAGCAUUUCUUUUCAGACUUAGGACUGUUUGGUUGCUUCAACACAAGAUGCUGCAGAAAAGUGUAAUGUUGUUUCUUAGGGAACACCUGAAAGGGCCUGCAUUCAAAGUGCCAGGAAUUUUGUUGCAUGCUGAUGCAUGACAAGUAGCAUGCCAUUCACAUCCACUUUACUACUAAGUCCUGGUUUUGGAAUGCUAUCAACUUGUGGCAAAAGGAAUAGUCAACGUUCAGAUUCGAGGAAGUUUGGUUAAUGCGAGAAGACUUUAGAAGCUUUGUUCCAUUAUGGUGGGACGAGAUGUUAAGCAAAUGUACUAGCAUCCUAUCAUUCGUUGCUAAAGUAACGAUACUGUUGUAGGAGGAACAAAAAUGGUGUAUAGAGAAUUGUAGUAUAGUAAAUGCUAAGAAGUAUGCUGAAAAAUACAAAACUAGAUGUCUUGGAGGUACAACAAUGCUUAACACAAUGGCAGUAGAAGAAAAUGAAGCAACUUGAGGAGUCUGGCUGCUAUUAUUGUGGAUAAGGAAUUACUUUGAAGGCACAUGCUAAAUAGCAGUGGUUAUGAAAUAGAAAGGUUUUUCACGCGGAGGCAAAUGGGAGCAAGCGUGAGAACUCUAUCGAUGUGAAAGAGGAUGAAGGUAGGAGACUUUACAGGAAGGAAGAAAAGAGGGAGUAUUUCUAACAGAUACAAGGAGGUCUGUGCCCCGGUAGUCUCAGAUAGCUUGUCAAUUGGUGAUUGCAGUAGUCUACUCUAGGAAAGAAUCAUCCCGCACCCCGAGCAACUUACUACACCUUUUUCUUUGGAAGAGAUUAAAAUGACUAGUUUUCAGUUAGGCGGAGAGAAGGUGCUAGGUUGGAUUGGUUUAAUAUGAAGUUCUACCGGAUUUUCUUGGAAGUGGUAAAGGACGAUUGAUAUUAUAUUUUCCGAGACCAUUAUGAUGGUACAGUGAGAACUGGGCCUAUAGAUUACUUGUAUAUUUGUUUAGUCCCCAAGAGAGGGGGCAAGGCUGGCCAAUGACUUUAGACCCGUUUGUUUUAUUACUAGAAUACAAAGGAUCAUGUCCAAAGUACUCGCUAAUAGAUUAGAAGGUGUAUUGAAAGACAUCAUCUCUCCCUCCCAAUUCGCUUUCUUGAAAGGCCAGUUGAUUCUAAACUCUUUCAUGACAGUUAGUGAGCUAUCGUGUCAGUUCUCAAAAGUGGGACAGGAAAGUGUUGGAGUUAAAGCUGAUUUCGAGAAGGCUUAGAAAAGAGUGAAUUGGUUGUACCUUAGGAAGGUUAUUACAUGGUUAGAGGCAAACCACAACGGUGGGGAUGGGUCAAACAAUGUAUAUCCAAUGCCAAAAUAGCAAUUCUAGUUAAUGACCACCCCUGUAAAUGGAUCAGAGUAAAAAGAGGUUUGUGUCAGGGUGAUCUUUUAUCUCCUUAUCUCUUUCUCAUGAUAAUGGAGGGUGGCGAACAUGACGGAACGGGCAGUCAUUAAUAACUAACAAUCUUUUGAGCGGGGUGGGACAUAAUGAGGAGAGCAAGGUCGCAUUAAUCAUAUAUGUAGACAGCACGAUCUUUUUUUGCAAGAUAGAGAAAGCAAAUGAGAAACCUUAAAUUUGUGUGGAGCAUCUUUGAGUGUGCAUUUGUCUAAUGAUAAAUAAGAAUAAGUCAUUGCUCUUCUAUCUAGGUAGAGACGACAAUAAAGGUGAGAGGUUGGCUAAUAUCCUAGAGAUGCAAACUGGAGACGAAGGUUAGAAGUAUCGGGUGGUGCUGUACGGCACGAGACGUAUGACACUGUGCCCCUAAUUAGUGGGCAUAGUAUGGGAGUUCCCUGCUUGGUCCCCGAGUGUCGCAAUACCUUUUGCAUAUCGCACGAGACAGUCACAGCAUAGUCGCAGUGCUUUAAUCUUUUUAUUUUUGGGCCUACUUUUUUUUUUUUUAUCUUUUUUUUGGUUUUCUCCUAUAGACAUUGCUCUCAUUCUCCCACAGACGUCCUUCUCUCUCAUUCUCUUUUACCCUCUCUUCUCCUUUACUGUCUCUCUGUCUUUCCUUUUUUCCUCAUCUCUUUCUCUAUUUUUUUUUAUUUCUAUUUUUUCCUCUCUUUUCUUUUCAUCAUUUUUUUCUCUAAUUUCUUUUUCUGUUUGAUCGUUUCAAGCUGAAAAGAAAAGGCAAAGAAAUAGCAAAUCAAAGAUAUACUAAUUAGGUAAGUAAAAGAAUUUACAAUUUAAUUUUUUUCAUAGAUUUUGAAUAUUCUAACUUGUAGAACUUUUUUUUUGAAAAAGCAUGAAAUUAUGUAAAUUUUUGUUUAUAGUUUACAAAAAUAGAUCUACUUGAUUUAGUAAUUAUAUGGUCUGAUUUUUAAUUAUUUCGGAUAGAUCUUGCAUUUUGUAUGAGAUUUAUGACAAAAGUUUUUUAACUUUGAAAAUUCUUUUUGAAUUUAGAAGAUUGAAAAUACUAAGAAAAUCAAAAACUAAAUUGAGGCAAUUGAUGUUUAAAUUUGCUACAUUAAUUUGUUAUAUGAUUUAUUGUUAAAUUUUUAUGGAUAUAUCUCAUAAUUUUUCUUAAAAAAUUUAAUAAAAAAUAAUUUUCUUCAAAUUUUUAAUAAAUAUUUUUAAAAGACGCAAAAUGAAAAGGAAUUAUUGGAGCAGUUGCAAUCCUAUUCUAGUUAAUCUAGUUAUCAUGCGGCCCCUCGUUGAAUCAAUAUGGAUGAAUUUUGCAAAUUUUCUUUAAAAUUUUAAGAAAAAAUAAUGUUCUCUAAUUUUGUAUUUUACAAUUUUUUAAAUUUGAAAAAAAGAAAGAUAUCCGCAAUUGUGAAUCUUGUAUUUGUAGAUUACAAUAUGCCAUAUUAUUCACUGCAACGAUUAUGUGGAACUAAGUAGGCAUCUUUCCGUAAAAAUACAAAUUUAAAUUCUUAUUGUAUCUGUGGAUUUUGUUAUUGUAUUUUAAUUUCUAUUCUCUAUGAGCUAUAGUUAUAUUUUACUUUGUAUAUGAAAAAGCAUACCACUAUAUAAAUUGUUGACUGUUUUUUAAACUAUAUAUAGCCAAUGUUCAUAAUUAUUUUUCUAAAUCUUUCAAAAUAACAUUAUAAAAGUUUAUUAGGACAAAAAAAAAUUAAAACAAGAUCGUGCCAAAGCGUGCCACUAGGAGGUCGUGCGUGCUAAUGAGCACACAAGCAUGCCACGUGUCAAUACGUAAUCGUGCCAGUGUUGUAUCAUGCUAGGAAACAAUCGACAUGCCUUCGUGCCUGCGACACUUUAAUCCUUGUUGGGGACCUUUCUUUGUCGACUAUCUAGACUACCUCUCACGAACGAGUGACUUAGAAAUAAUUGGUAGCCCAUAAUAGGCAAGAUUGUGAAAAUCAAGGUUUUAAGUGCCCGUCGGCACGGGCCGUAUCCACCGUGCCGUACUGUGCCAACAAAAUACCGGCACGAUACAGAUCACGUGCCAAUGGCAUAGCUCAAAACCCUCUAUUCUUUAAAUUAGUAAGUAAUUUCUUCAAUAAAAUUCAAAAGAUGUGAUAAAAAGAUAUAAUAAAUAGUUAGAAUAUUUUUUUGCUAAAGAAAAUAAAUAUUUCAUGCUAUUAUUUGUCGACACACAAGAAUUUUUUUGAUCGGCACGCAUCGGCACGUCUAGGCACACACCGUGCUGUACCGUGCUGGCAAGUUUCCGGCACGACCCCGUGCCACGACACUUAAAUCCUUGGUGAAAAUAGAUUGAAGGGUGGCAAGCUAAACUCCUUUUGCGGGAAGGCAAACUGGUCUGAGUGAACUCAGUACUUUCGAAUGUGCCUUUGUACUUCUGAGUGUAUAGAGUGCCUAAAUUGGUUUUAUGGGGUAUCGAAGCCCUCUAGAGGGCUUUUUUUUGGAAGGAAAGGACUGUUGUCGCUGGGGGACAUUAUCUGUAUGAUGGAAGUCGGUCUGUUGGAACAAAACAGAUGGUUGUUUAUGGAUUGAGGGAAUGGAGAACAUGAACGUAGACUUGUUGCCAAAAUAGUGGUGGCGGUCGACUCCUCGGAUACGAGCCACUAGUGGAGUACCCUAGUUAAUGCCCUAUACUAUUCUCGAAGGAGAUCGCUUAGACAAGGAGUUCUCUUCAGACCCCACUCGCAAUGGUGGUGGAAUGUUUUAAAGACUAGAGACAUCUUUAAGUAUGGUGUCACUUAUGUGGUUGGGGACGGUAGUAGUGUGGGCUUCUGGUUUGACUUAUGGUGCAGUGAUUCUACCCUACCGUCUUCAUGCCUCCACAUUUUUAGAAUAGUGUAGAAAGAUUGUUGGGUGAUGGAUUGCUCUGAGGGGAGCAAGUGGAAAUAGGAUGACAUCCUGGUAUGUUUUGUCCCAAGCUGCGUAAUGUGAUGGAGAUUCGAUAUGGGAAUUAAAUGAGGCAUUAUCUAACUUAACACUGUCUAAUUGAAUGGAGAUUGGCCUAGUUAGAUUGGAUUUUGGUUGGAUCUCUUUAUAACUUCUUGCAAGAUGGAGUCAAAGAUAGGAGUUUCACAUAACUGUGAAAGAUUCAUACCCCGUUGAAAGUCAAAUUUUUUGUUUGGUUAGUUCUGAAAAGAAAGGUACUUGUGGUCGACAAUUUACAGAAGGGGGUUGGCAAGGGGAGCAGGGCUGUGUACUCUGUCUGGAUGAUUUCGAGAUGGUCGACCAUUUAUUUGCAGAAUGUGAAGUUAAUAGACUUUUGUUGGAUUUUUUGAUUCCUAAUAAGAAGAACAUCCACAGAUGCCCUUUAGAGGCGAGUCGACUCAAAUGGGGCCCCACGAGGCGAAAUGAGUUAGCACAAUUGCCAUCGCUUGGUGGGUAAUUUGGCUUGAGAGAAACAGAAGAAUUUUACAAAAAAGGAAACACUCCUUGAAAUAGAUGUUUGUGGAGUUCGUUCGUUGAGGGGCCUCUAAGAAGAAUACCGUGUUGUGUAACCUCCUGGUUCUCAGUGUUUGGGCCUUGUUUUUGUUCUCUUUUUUUGCCUUUUAGGAUCCUAUAUAUUCUUUCUUUUUCUUUUUCUUCAUUUUAGUGGCUUGGUUGCCUCACUCUGUAGCCAAGUUUGUCUCCUAAAUGAAUGAAGCGGUAGUGUGCUACCAUGCUCUCGAAAAACAAAAGUAGAUAGGCAAAACAACAUUACGAUGGGGAUCCUACCACAUAAAAUAAUUGCUGUUGCAUGAUUCCCACCCCAUUUACACAUACAGACUGUAUGGCUCCGUGCAUUGUCAUUUUUUUCCUACCUUUGACUCCUCCAGAUUACAUGUUGGUGAGGUUAUUCACUUCAUUUCUUUCCAGAAAACCAAACUUAAAUUCAGCAAGAUGGCUGAGUAUUUGGUUGGUUCUUGCUUAUGCAUCAACUAAUAUAAGAAUUGAUCAUUUUCGCAGUUAUAUAAGGAUUUGUUAUUAUAAUGGUUAAAAUAUAUUGAAAUUAGUUCUUUUCUGUUAGAAAAUAUUUGUGAAUGUCUAGGCCAAGGAAUAUGACUGUAACUUUCGUACGACGAAUCCUGUGCUAUGAGUCAGAAACUUAUUCAACUUAGACCAAUCAUUUAUAUUGCACUUGAUGCAUAGGCAAAAAGCAACAAGACCCAUAAUUUUUGGUUUUUAGUAACUCCAACUAUUCCAUGUCAUAUGUAUCAGGAAGGAUUGUAAAUUCAAAUGCUCUACUAUUGGCUUUGCAAGCGAUUUGGGCACAUCCUCCAGAGUGUGAUCUAACCCCUUACCCUUUGGACUGUGUUCCCUGUCACUCUGUGUGUGCAUUAAUGAUUGUGUGCUUGCGGGCAUGUGCGUCCGCGGGGGUGGAUGGUUUGGGGGUUUGUAUGCGUGUGUGCUCUCUUAUUUCAUACGGAAAGGUGUACAGUAAUUUUCGUGCGUAUCCGGGCUAUGGGCAUGAUAUAUAAGUUACAUAGUUCUAUUUCUACAUAUGUAUGUUUUUGGAUGUUAGCCUUUCUGGUUUCUUUGGUAUGCCAUGACCAUGUACAUUUGGCCAUGUUGAACCUGCACUAUAUAAUUACGGUUUUAUAUAUAGCAUAAUAUAGGUAUAGUGCUCUUAACCUUUUUAGUACCAGUACUCGUUUUGUAAAAUUAGAAUUUCUGCUCUCAAACAAGCUUAUGCUUUCAGUAGACUGUGUAAUCAAAUGUUUUUCAUUCAAUAAUGACAUCUUUCUUUGGUUUACAGAAAUGUCCGACUUCCACUAACUCGACGCCUCCUUGUGUCAUUUUUCAUUCUUGGGCUAACCGGGUACCCACUAAACUCAAUUUAAAUAGAGUAAUGUCAUCACUCACAAAAAUUCUUAUUUAAUAUUGUGACACCUUUGUAGGAUUUUUGGCAAUCAGCUGUUAUUCCUAGUUGGUCUUAGCUACACAAAUCCAACUUAUGCUGCAGCUAUUCAACCUUCAAUACCUGUGUUCACCUUCCUCUUGGCUGCAAUUACAGGGUCAGUUAUUUUAGGUACUUAUCAAUUCUUUACCUCUAUUUUCUAUUUCUCAUUCUUAAGAUUUGCUGGUUUGCAGUGCGGAAACUGUGACCUUAAUUACAUCUGAGGGCCGAGCUAAGAUUGCUGGUACAUUUAUAUGUGUUUCGGGUGCUGUACUAAUGGUGUUGUAUAGAGGCCCAGCUAUAUUUGGUAAUAAUGAAUUUGACAUAGCAGCUCAAAAUGACAUAAGCGCAAAGGCUCAGCCUGAGCCAGCUGGAUGGUUAGCAUCUUGGUUUAUUGAUUUUGGACUUGAACAGUGGCAUAUUGGAGUUUUGUGCUUAAUAGGAAACUGUUUGUGCAUGGCUACUUAUCUUGCUUUACAGGUAAUGAAAUAGGCAGACUAUCAAUUUGCUCCAUAUAUAUUUAUAUAUAUUUUUCCUUAUUUACAUGAUGCAGAAAUCAUAGGUUCAAGCGUCUUACUAGCAGAAAUUUUGUUGUUAUCACUUGAUACAAAAGAUUGAAUGCAUCCAAUAAACAAUAGAUUAUCAAAAAUUGAUCUUAGAAAUGUGCCAGUUUUUCACCAGCAAGGGGGUAUCUUACUAUUGACAUGCUAGCCUAUGCCACAGCGUGUAUCAUGCUGGCAUAGAUGAGACCACCACCUCCAUGCUGUAGCAUGACCAUCCACAUAAUUGCAAAAGGCUUGGGUGUUCAAAAGAAAAGUUAAUGUAAAGAAACAUCUUUGCCUUUAUUAAAACUACAAAGCUACAUUUUUUUCCCUUUUUUUAUUGCAAACUUAUUUAAGGAUUCUCGUACUCUGCCUCUUCCAAUAUUAUCGAUUAUCUAUGUUCUAGAUAUUACUUCAGGGUUUUUGGGCGACUAAUCCUACAGAGUUCUUUUAGUUGUAAAAAUAGACAUUCAAAAUUUUUAUUUGUAAAAUUAGGCUUAAGCAGUGAAUGAUUUACUGCUUUUAGAAUUCACUGCUUUCUAAAAUCAUAAAUCAUUCACUGCUUUUACCAAAUUUAUAUAUUUUCUACAUCUGAACUUCAAAGGAUGUGUAACAUUAAACAGUAAAAUAAUUUUAACGUUCUGAGAAAGCAGCAAAUGAUUUAUCGCCUUUAAAAAGCAGUGAAUCCUUCACCUCAUAAAACUAGUUUUGUAAAUAAAUUUUUUGAAGGACUACUUUUACAAUUAUAAUAUUUUUCAAGCCUAUUAAUAGAAAAAUGCUUACUUCUCUACUUGAACUCUAGUGGAUUGUUGGUGAUUUAGCUUGGUUUUGUGAAUUUUUCUAUUGCUGUCUUUCUUUUAGAAACAAUAGCAUUCUUACUUAUAUCAUGUUGGCAAAUUUUUACAUGCUAAAUACUCACAACUUGUAACAAAGCUGUAUGAGCAAAUUGUUGUAUGUGAAGGAAACUUUUCCAUUUCUUGUUGCUUGCCAUUUACAAUUUGUAUAUUUUAUGGAAGUCAAAAGUCUGCUGAAAUGUCUCAUUCAGAACACAUUCUUAUGUCUAUAAUGUCUAUACAAGAUUAAUGCCCUUUGACAGUUCUCUUUCGAAAUUGUUAUUUUUAUCUUUUUGUGAAGCGCACAGAUCAUUUAUAUGCAAACCCACUCAAACUUUAUGAUUAUAUACUAUUUGAGUGAGGAAGGUUGAAACUGUCAACAUGAAAACUAGGAUAUUAAGUGAUUAGUGUCAUCUGGUUGCUGCUAUUUCAUGUUGGUUCAUGUGAGGUUGCACUAAUUUCAGGCUCCAGUUUUGGCGAAGUACCCUUCCAGCUUGUCUUUGACAGCAUACUCGUACUUCUUUGGAGCUGUUUUAAUGGUUUUAUCAGGAUUCUUUGCAACUAAUGAUCAAGCAGAUUGGACUCUGACACGAUCUGAGACUAUUGCAGUCUUAUAUGCAGUAAGUUUCCAGUUAAUUACUGUUCUCCACAAUGUACGAAUUUUUGUUAUCCUAGUAAAUGCAUGUCUCUUUAACAGGAGUUUCUGGCUUAAAAUUUUUUUGGCUUAAAAUUUUUUUGGCUGUGAGAUAUGAAGAACUUGUUUCUGUGACUUGUUGUUAAUUUAUGUUUGAUUCUCUGCAAACUUCCUCUUAUUUUAUAGUCAUGACUUUGCCUUAAAGUAGUUAACUAGUUGGAAGAAAGUAAAGACAAAAAUAAAAAGGUGGACUCGUUUCACCGUUCUUACCAUCCCUUUCAUCUUUUAUACUCCCUUAAUCCAGCAACCCUGCCUCUUCCACCCUGUUCUGAAUCCCAUCCCAAUCUCCUUUCUCGUGUUCUUGUACAGAGAGGGAUGUGAGAAUCUCUCUCUCUUCCUCUAUAUCCCUCUUCUUCCUUAGUAUGUUCUCCUUUUUACGACUGUUUUGGGCCUACCUAAAUUGGAGCUUGAUCAGGCUUGGUCUAGAUUUGCAGCUUCUAGAUAGGAUGAGGGAUAGGGUUGGCUCGCCAGAGUUGCACCUGACAAAAUAGGCUCUUGGGAUGUUGUAAGCCGCAAAUGAAGCGCUUUACCUUCCCUCAUAGCUUACUCCCUGGUCUUUCGUAACUAUUCUACGUAGAAAUAACAGAUCUGUAUUCAGUUCUUUAACUUCUCCAUAUUUUGCAAAUUUUAAGUUAUGUCCUUUUCCCAUUUGACUCUUUAGGCUUUCUUGUUUUACCAUAAGAUGAUGCUAGUAAUUUUUGUGCAUUAGAUCUUAGAUUCAGAGCCACUUGUUUUCAGCUUUUCAAUUAUCUGAUAUUCUUUAAUGAUUUUUCUACAUGACUUAUAUGAAAUGUGCCUUCCUACAUGCAGAAUCUGGCCUUUUAUUGAUCGCAUAAGCACAAAUCUGCCACAUUUUAUUUGCACGAAGAAAUUGCAUGUAUGUCUCAAAUGUAUAAUAUAUUAUAUUAAAUUACGGGUGUUUUUCAGGGAGUUGUCGCCUCUGCUCUUAACUAUUGGCUGUUGACAUGGUCAAAUAAGAUUCUAGGUCCUGCAUUGGUUGCUUUAUAUAAUCCACUUCAACCUGUGGUAUCUGCCUUCUUCUCAAGGAUUAUUCUUGGAAGCCCCAUUUACCUUGGAAGGUUUGAAAAAAAAUUUGCCCCCUCCUACAGUAACUCAGAUAUUUCUUUGUAUCCGCGAGUUCCUAGAUCGUACUGUAGCUCCAAGAGUUAUGCUAACAUGCUUUUAUAUUUAGUCUUUCGAUUAGAAGAUAAGUUUUAAUUCGCAUCUCUUUUUUAGGAGAGUGAGUUAAAACCUAAAUUCUAAUGAUAUCUUUCUGAUAUCUGUUAUUCAAGAUGCAGUUUCUUAUGAUUGCCAACUCAUUUGAAUGAAGUUUUUCUUCUAAGUUUAAUGAUCAUUCCAAAUAUUUGGCCUCGAAGUACUAAGUUUUUUCCUUUAAUGUAAUCUUCCCCCUUAAUUAGCCUUUUGUAUCUUUUUGUGGAAAGCUUCCUAGUCAAUGCUUCUCUUUCUGAAAAACACUGUAAGCAGAAUGUGCAGUCUUGCACUUGCAAAAUUUGAUUCCUACUAUGCUAAAAUCAAUACCAAGUUUUAUUUUCUUUUUCUUUUUUUCCUUUGUUACCUUUUUUUACAUUAUUUUUCUUGACAUUUUUUUUUUUUUUUUUUCGUUAACAGCAUUCUUGGGGGCCUUCUGAUUAUCUCUGGUCUUUAUCUUGUAACUUGGGCGCGUCAUAGAGAGCGGCACUCGGCCACUAUUGGGAUCUCAUUUGUCAAAUGCAUAACUGAACAGCCCGAUGUUGAUGCACCGGCAAAAAAGAGAGGAAACAUAUUCUCCGGCUCCUCAUCUGCAUUUCCUUGGCCGUGGGUUGAGCCCCACGAAUCAUGAUAUUUCAUUAUUAUUUUGGCCCCUUUUUUGAUUUAUAUAAUUAGAAUUUAGAGCUAGGGAGCAAGAGCUCGCGAGAGUGACAGUUUUAGGGAGAAUAGGGUAAUAUACUGCAGGUUCUUUGUAAGGAUGUUACAGCAAUCAAUUUUUUUCAACCUGAGGUUUUUGAAAAAUGUGCUUAUAUUUGUAUGCAGCUGCGUCUUUCUUGUGCUUUUCACAGGAUGUUAUACGGUAGCAGCAUGGAAAUGCUUUUUUGAAAACUCUACUGGUGUGGCUUUCUUGUGUUCGCGACGUGCUCUUCAUUUUGGAUGGAGAGAAUAGAGAGGAGAGAGAGUGAGAGGGAGGGGGAAAAAGAAAAUUACUUUGAGAAAAUUGUUAAUUUUUUCUUGUUUGCAAUGAACUCAGGGUAGGAAAUAAGAGAAAUUGAAAGAAAUGGAGAAAGGGUGGCGUACCGCAAAAAUUCUUUCUUUUUCUUUUUCUUUUUCUUUUUUGGCUUCACACGGUAAAAACGGAUGUGGAAGUAAACGCUUUAGUUUACUUUUAGGCAUACUCUAGCCUUUCUCUAUAUUUAUAUAUAUACUAGUUUAGGGCCCGCGCUUCGCGGCGGAUCAAUAUAGGCAAUCUAAAAUAUCAGUUUGAUUUUCGAUUUAAAAUUUAAAUUUAAAUUUUGAUUUUAUAGUUGAAUUUUAAACUAUCAUUCAGAUUUAAAAUUCAAAAUUGAUGAAUUUCAAAUAAAUAUCUUUCAGACUUAGAUUUUAAAUAUUAUUUUUAACUUUUAAAUAUCAAAUAUCAAAUUUAAAAUUUUAGGUUUCAAAUAUUAGAUUUUAUAUUUUAAAUUUUAAAAUUCAAAAUUUGAAUAUAAAAUGUAAAAUUUAAAAUUUAGGAACUGAAAUUUAAAGUUUAAAAAUGUAAAAUUGUAAAAUUUAGUUUUAGUAAUUAAGAUAAAAUAUAAAAUAUUUAAAUUUUAAGUUUUAACUUUUAAAUUUCAAAUUUCAAUAUUUUAAAAAUUAAAUUAUAAAUUGAAUUUAAAAAUUUUAAAUAUUAAAUUUUAAAAUUUAGUUUUAGUAAUUAAGAUAAAAUAUAAAAUUUUUAAAUUUUAAGUUUUAACUUUUAAAUUUCAAAUUUCAAUAUUUUAAAUAUUAAAUUAUAAAUUGAAUUAAAAAAUUCAAAUAUUAAAUUUCAAAUAUUAAAAUUUUAAUUUAAAAUUUUAAGAUUUAAAUUUUAAACUUCAACCGUUUAUAUUUUAAAUUUAAAUAUAUUUUUUAAAUAAUAAAAAAAUUUAAAUUUUAAAUAUUUAAUUUUAAAUUUAGAUUUGAAAUGUAAAGUUUUUAAACUUAAAUUUUAAAAGUUUACAUUUUAAAUUUACACUGAGAGAGAGAGAGAGAGAGGGGGGCCGCUCGAGCCGCCCACCCGCGCCGCGCCCGCCUCGCGUGCCCGCGCCGGUGCCUGCCCAUGGGGGACAGAGAGAGAGAGAGGGAGGGAGGGCGCUCGGUCGAGUCGCCCACCCGCGCCGCGCCAGCCCCGCGCGCCCGUGCCUCCUCCCGUGGGGGGAGAGGUAGAGAGGAAGAAAGAGAGAGGGGGAGAGGGAGAGGGAGAAAGGGGGAGAGAGAGAGUCGCGUCGUGACCCGCGCCGGCCGCGCCCGCUCGAGCCGCCCGCCCACUCUGCCAUGUGCGCUCGGCCCGCGCACGGCGCCCGCUCGCGCCCCUUGUGCGCCCGCGGCCGCCCAUGCUACCACUACAAGCGACACGCGGCCGGCGACUUCUCGCGCCCCUCGCAUGCCCGCGCUCGCCCGUGCUGCCACUGCACGCGACCCGCAGCUGGUGCCCACUCGCGCCCCGGCCCGCCCGUGCUGCCACGUGCUCGCGACCCGCGCCCGGCGCUCGCUCGCGCCCCGCCGCCCGACCCGCGCCCGGCACCGGCUCUAGCCCCUCGCGCUCCUGCGCCCGCCCGUGCUGCCGCGUGCGCACUCCUCGCGCGCUCGCGAAGGGCUCGAAGGAGGGGGGCGCUAAGAAGCCGACACGUGGCCACAGUAAAACUCAAUUUUUAAUAUAUCUAUAGAUAGUGGAGUGGCUGGCUCGUCAGUUAAAUAUUUUCAAACUAAAACUAGCAAAAUGUUCUACACUAUAGAAAAGAAAAGGCCUUUUUUUGCAAUUAGCCUCCUAAAAAAAUUUAUUUUAAAAAUAAUCCCAACAAAUUUAAAUUUGCAAAAAUAACUCUGGCCCUGCCACAUAGGCGCCACGUCAGCGCCAUGCGCUGGGCCAGAUAGUUAAGUUAAACACGGUAAACCAUUCACUGUGUCUAAACACGGUGAAUGAUUCACCGUGUCUGGAGAAAGAGAAGGGAAAGAAAAAAUAUAUGUAUUAUGAAAAAGAUAAGUAUGAAACAUGGUGAAUCAUUCACCGUGUUUGAACACGGUGAUGGUUCACCGUGUUCAACUUAACCAGCCUGUUCACGCGGCGCUGAUGUGGCGCCUGCAUGGCAAGAUUAGGAUUAUUUUUGCAAAUUUAAAUUUGCUGAGACUAUUUUUAAAAUAAUUUUUUUCAGGAGGCUAAUUGCAAAAAAAGCCCAAAAGAAAAAUAAGAAAGCUAAAGAAUAAAGAACUACUUGCAGCAAAAUCCGAGUACCAUAAGAAAAACAAUGAAUCAGAUAUAGCCAGAAUGAGAACUUAGACAUUUACAUAACAAUUUUUACUGCACCAAAAAAAAAAAUAAAAUCAUACUCAACACCUUUUAUGAUGUGAUUUAAAAAAUAAAAAAAAAUGUACUGCAACCUGCUGUAUCAGUUAUCCUCUGCUGAAGCAAAAACAUUAUAAUAAAGCAAGACACUUAUAGCAAAUUUCCAUCCAAAAGGCAUUUCUUGCAAACAAUAAUAUUACGUUAAUAGGAGAAUGAGAGAAAAAUUAAAAUAUAAAAUAUAAAUGUCAAUGUUUCAAAGGAUAUAUGGCAAAAAAAUUAAUUAAGCAAGACUUAGCGAAAACAAUAUAAUGUUGCUGAGACUAAGUGAGAGUAAUAAACUAAACCAGCAGUAUCGAAAGGCACCAAAUAUUUGAGCUCUACGACAAAAAUAAUCAAUUAAUACAGAUCGUGUCGCCUAUACAUAGUUCAGCAUAUGAAAAUUCCCAAAAUACAUUCAAAAGAAUUUGUGAAGGUGCACCAAUCCAGAUAUCUUGGAGGCUUCUUUUUGGAUUAAGACAAAUUUUGAUAUGAAAUGGUGAAAGGAAAGAACAGUAGCACAAAUAUUAAAUUUCUUUUAUUUAUACUGCAAGUGCCAAAUUCAUUUACUAUCCAAAAUUACCAACUCAUCAUUUUUUUCAAAUAUAAGGCAACAAACCAUUCAUUUAUUUUACCAAAAAAAGAAAUAAAUUAUAAACUACACAAGGAAGAUGGCUCAUCAUCAUUUCCUAUUUAAUAAAAUAAGGAAGAAGUAAGAUGGAAAAUCUUCUUCUAUAUUAACUGUUCGUUUAGGACUAAUAGUAGAAAGCAUUGGUAUAAACUUGUCUGUUAAUCUACUGUAUCAGAAAAUAUUAACACGAAGUUGCUAAAGGGGGUUAGCAGAGAGAAAUAUUAAUUUUGUAAUCGUAAGCUCAGAGUCAAAUUUUUCUUUGAGUUAUGUAUAUGUUUCACCAUAUUAAACAAAUUGCGGUUUGAUAUUCCUGGUUCACAUGUCUAUCAGGAGUUGUUCUUGCAGCUCUGUAAUAAAAACUUGAACAAUUCAGAUUUGACCACAUGAAAUAGUAUAAAACAUAGGUGUAAAAUAAGUACACCCACACACAUUCGUUGGGGUGGAUUAAAAGCAACAUUGAGAUGAAAAUCGAUCGCAAGUGUAAGGUGAACUUUGUGGUGAUUGGUGUCUACAUCGACAAAAUGGUGUGAGAGGUUGUGCCGCUAAACAUUUGCAACCUCAUCUUCGGCAGCCCCUACCUAUGGGACUGUGACGCUACCUUCUUUUGUCGUCUUCAGCAGUACCCAAUUUGUUGAUGAUGGACAAAAAUUUCUAUUCACUACAAAACCAUUAUCAAUAUCUGCAGACCUAGUGACUGUUUGCCAAGCCAAGAGGAUGAUAAAUGUCUGCCGAAAGUUUGCUUUACUAGUCAUUCUGUCAGUUGAAUCUGAAGAGAAAAACAACAAUGUAUUGAGCCUAGCAUGUAGGGAAAGGGUUGACAAUGUCGUUAGACUAACUGGCAAGCAUCAGGAUUUGUUCCAAGAAGUCUGAGAGUUGCCACCAAAGCAGGCCAUGGAACAUGAGAUCCAAUUGAUUAGCGAUGCUCCGUUACCGAACCUCGGCAUGUGCAAAACUCGGUAGUGGAAAAUGAGAAGAUAACGCUACAAGUGAUCGAGUUGCUCAAGAGUGGUGCUAUUUAACCAAGCAUCUCUCCUUGUGGCUCCUCGAUUCAAAGAAAGACGGCGGGUGCCAAAUGUGUAUCGACUACCGCAUCCUCAACAAAAUCACCAUCAAGAAUCGAUACUCCUUGCUGCGGAUUGAUGAUCUUCCAGACUACUUGAAACAUGCUCGCUAUUUCACUAAGCCGGACUUAAAGUUCAGCUAUCACCAAGUCCAAAUUCAGGAGGAUGACACCUGGAAGACCACAUUCAAGAUGCGGUAGGGCCUAUUUGAGUGGCUCAUCAUGCCAUUUGGCCUUUGCAAUGCAUCCACUACAUUUAUGCGGCUGAUGAACGACAUUCUACACCUCUUCCUCGAUGACUUCGUGAUCGUCUACCUCGACAACAUCCUCAUCUACAGUCGAUCAUAGAAGAGCACCUAGCGCACGUCAAGAAGGUUUUCUUGCUGCUUGAGAAAACCAACUCUACUUGAACCCUAAAAAAUGUGAGCUUGUAAGCAAGUCUGAUGUAUCUCUAGUUCAUGGUGGGUGGCGACGAGCUUUAAAUCGACCCUAACAAGGUCAGGGCCAUCAAGAAGUGGCCCUGGCCCAAAAACAUGAUGGAUGUGUAGAGUUUCAUGGGCGCUUGUCAAUAUGUCCGAAAGUAUCCGGUACUUUUCUGUCCUUGUGGCCUCGCUAUUUGCACUGACAGAGGCCCAACCAAAAGUUCAGAUGGAGUUUGAAACAUAAGGAUACUAUUCUAGUAUGCAAGGUUACAAUGACUCGCGAGGUGAACAUGACUCCUUUCAUGUUGGACGAAAAGGUCAAAAGCCAAGUGUCGCUAAGUGGUUCACAAGGGAAGCUGGGAAAACUUGAUUGCCUCACUUACAAUUCUAGAUCUAGCAGUUGCUGGUUCCUCUCAAAUUGGGGAGCCAUGAUUCGGGAUGAUCAAAUUUUCAGAUAAGUUUCAACUGUUGCGAAUAAGGCGGAGACGGUUCCAAUUACUUCGAUUGGGAUAAGAAUCAAGAAGGUUUCAGGGAACUAUUUCGGUUCGGAUAAGCAUCGAGGUUGUUUCAGCAAAUCCAAAGAAGGAUCAAAUUGUUAUACCAAUUUGGAUAAGAAUAAAACCAAUUUGAAUAAGGAUAAGGAGGUUAGGUGGUUUUCUUUCAAGUGUUUUGUUCUUAUCUUAUUGUAAAUCUGAAAGGCUAUAAAUAGGGGGACCUAUUGGCUCUUGUAAAGACAUUCCAAUUAGAUAGCAAAUAUACAAACUUUUCGCCGAGUGCUUUUUGUAUAUUUUUUUUUCUAAUCUGGUUUUAGGUAUUCAUUAGGGAGGCAUUGUGACAUUGCUUUCUCCUCCUCUAACAAAUUAAUCAACUAUCGAAUCUUCAGAAAUAUAAAUUUUUUAAGGAACAUAAAGAAAUAUUUUGUAAGGAAGUGAAUUCUCGAAAUCCGAGAGUUGUACGUCGUCCAGGAUCGACUACUUGUCGUAUGGGUUGGCUUCGGAAAGGCCGGAUGGCACGAAACCCAAAAAGUGCAUUGGAGUCGAGUCCACGAGAGCAAAUGGUGCAAAAUCUGUACUUGGUAAAUUCUGCUCUCGGGGACCGGUCCCUGGUGAGGGGGACCAGUUCCCAUAGGUGUAUGCCCAGGGUUUGCUCUCGGGGAUCGGUUCCUGGCAGGGAAGGACCGGUCCCCCUAGCGGGUGGUUGCGGCAGAUGCAUAAUGCAACCGGUCCCCUGGCCAGAGGGACCGGUUCCCGUACGCGUGAUUUUGAGAAGGUCCUCAGGGACCGACCCAUGGCAAGGAAGGACCGGUCCCUCCGCGCGAAAUCUGCCCAGGCAGGGCAGGUUGAGAGGGAUAAAGUUGAGGGGCUUGGCUGCAUUUAUGCAUUAGUUAGAGAGUAUAGAGGGGAGAUCACUCACUCCCUCUCCCAUUCUAACACUCUCUCUCUCUCACACUCUCUCACAUUCUCUCCCUUUAUCUCUCUCUAGAAAGAGAAGAAGAAGAAGGAGAAGAACAAGAAGGAGGAGAAGAAGAAGAAGGAGAAGAACAAGAAGGAGGAGAAGAAGAAGAAGGAGAAGAAGAAGAAGAAGGAGGGGAACUUGAAGGAGAUCACCGCCACCAUCUUCUCCUCUUCUUCUUCCUUCCAUUGGAGCUAACCUAGAGGUAAGCUUCUCAACCCUAAUGGUAGAACCUAGGGUUUUGGGUUUUGAGCUUUGGAAAUGAGGUCAAAUGGACCUCUAGCACCAUUAAUGGUGGAUUAAAGCUAGAGGCUAGGGUUUCAUUGUGCUUUGCAUAAUGCUAACCCUAGGGCUCCAAAUGGGGGCUUUUGGAAAUUUAUGAGAUUGAUCUCAUGUGAUGGCAUCUAAACCUAAUUGCUAGGUCUUUAAAUGCAGGGGCGAAGACGGAUUGAGCAUUCGUCUAGCCGGUGAAAAGUUCUCGGCAAAAUAAGGCCGACCAAGCUUAGUUUCGACCUAGGAGGCCGAGACAUCGUCGUAACGUUCGUUGGGAGGUGUUUCUAGAACCUCUACAUCGACAAAGGUGGGGGGUGUCCAUCCCGAAGCAACUGGGCUUCUCCCUAUGUCUAAGUAUCUUUAUGUGAUUACAUUCCAUAUAUAGUAUCAUGCAUGGUAGGGUGUUUAGAUAUUACUUUACUACUCUUGCAUAUUCCUUGGUAAUGCGGCAAAGUGGGCUUGGCAUGUGAACUUAGGAAUGCAUGAGAAUGAGUUUUGUGACAUAGAACCCUAUAGAGAUAAGUUAAACCGUAACUUGAUCUUGCAUGGAUGAGUAUAGUGACAUAUGACUAGUGUAGUCGGGAUAAUUGCAUUAUGGCAAGUGACAUGUAUACCAAGUAAACAACUUGACGAGUGGCAAAUGUAUACCAAGUAAACAACUUGACGAGUGGCAUUAGAAUUCAGUGUUAGAGAACACUUGUGGCAUAGUAGUCCUAGAGACUGGAUCUUCUCAUUUGAUAAGGAAUGGAUCUGGAUUAUACUCACACGUCUGUUCAGCACUUGUGGUGGUCGCUCCGCACAAGUAGUGCGCUCUGGAGUUUGGCACGUGAAUCGAUUGGGAUAGCCUAGGUGGGGUCCCAAGGGAUAGCCUAUGUGGGGUCCCGCAGACAAUCCCUCGGGUGGUUCGAGUCCCCCUUCAUAGACGGAUUUGAGAUGUGAGUUGAGGGCGCACUUAUGGGCCAGCCAGAUAAUUGGGUAAUAAACUCAAGAGAAUUAUGCAAAUUGGGCAUAUUCGGCAUAUUGGACAUAUUGUGCAUAUUGAGCAUUGUAGAAUUGUAUCCAUACUCGAUGUUGGUAUUAUAGCAUGUUAGCGAAUGCAUGGUUAUUUUGUUCAUUCUUGAAUCUCAAAGCAUAGUAGAAUAUUGCAGUUCUUUCAAUAUGCAUUAUUUACAGUUUUGGAUAUUUAUCUAUCUAUCUAUCUGCUUAUGCCUGCUUAGACCUAGUGGGAUGAUCGGCGGAGUCGGCGGCCGAACCCACUGGGAACUAUGGAAGAUAGUUCUCACCCCAUUUCAUUUCAGGGCUGAGUGCGGGCGCGCCGGGCGAGGAUCGCGGCAAAGGCAUUGCGCCCGAGCAAUAGCAUAGUAGCUUCCUUUAUGCAUUAGAGCACCAUUUUGUAUCUAGAUGCUUUAUGUUUUUGGAAGAGCUAAUGAUGUAAUUGAGAUGAAUAUAAUUAUCCAUUUUGCAAGUUAUAAAUAUAAACUUGAUGUAAAAAUGGUUGCAUAGAUGUAAUAGCUAGGUGUUUCUCUCUUUUCACUUGUUAUAUUUGUGGAUUCUUGCUCUUAUUUGUUGGCACUAGUAGUGCUUUUCGUGAUCAUGUAUGUAUUGAAUUUAAGUUCCUGGACAAAUUCUUGUAUAUGAUCUGGUUGUUAGCCUUGGGCAGACAGGGGAGGUGCUGUCCGUUCGGCGUCUGUUCGACGCGCCCAAACCGGACCAAAUUGGUAGUGGGCUCGGGGUGUGACAGGUAAUUAUGGUAUCAGAGUAAGUUAAGAGCAAGUAAAGAGAGAAAUCUAGGAUGGACCUAGAAGACCCUAGGUUGGUAAGCCUUAAGGAUAUAGGUGCGUGAGUGGAACGUGAACCUAUAACGAUGGCGGAAGUCGAUUCGAUUGGGUCGAAGUUGGUGAUAUCUCUUUAGUAGUUGCUAGAGGUAGAUUUAAGUGGUAUUAGUUCUUGGCUUCAAGUGAUUAUGUCGGCGGCCGACGACAUGACGCUGAGAGUCUAGAAUGACUGCACUUGUGUGCUUCCGCCUGAUUUUUAAUGUUGAGUCGCGUAAUUUUGGUAAUCGCGAAUAGGUUAAUGGGUUAGGCUAAUUGACCAGGUUGUUGCGUUUCAGGAACUAAUGACCCGGUUGUUGCGUUUCAGGAACUAAUGUCUCCAAGACGCUACACGCGUAGGACGGUUCCAUCACCGCCUUCUGAGGUGCCAGAGCAAGCUGGACCUCCUUUGGUACCAGAGUCGUCUGGUCCUAGCGAGGUGCAGGAGUUACGGGCACAAAUGACCACGUUGACUGGUCGGUUUGAUCGGCUCCAGGAGUUGAUGGAGCGACAGAUUGCAGCGACGGCCGCGACGGCGAUGGAAGGUCGCAACCUGCACGCAUCCUCGGCAUGCGUGCCUGAGGCGGCAGAGGUGAGGGCGUGGCAGCAGUCCCGGUGGCGGCGUGUCCCGAGCCGACAAGUGUGCUUCCGACGGCUUCGGGUACGGCAACACCCGAUGCGGCGGCUGAGGAAGUGAAGCAGGAGUGCGCAUUGACAGCUCUUAUAAGGUUCAAGAAGUUCGACCCGCCAAUCUUUGAGGGGGGAAAGGUGGUGUCACGCCUCCGCCCCGAGACCGCUACCAGUUUGGUCCGGAUCGGGCGCGGCGAACGGACGCCGAACGGACAGAGUCUCCCCUGUCCGCCCAAGGCUCAACCAACGAGAUCAUGUACACAAGUUCCCAGGAAAUACGCUUGACUAAAUACAUGAUCUAACAAUAACGACGAAGCACAAACAGUGCUUAUCAACCAAGAGCAAGCAACACAAGUAACGCAUACAAGUGAUAAAAGAGAGAUGUACUUAACUAUUAAACUCACUUGACUUUAUACAAUUAUUCCAUCCUUUACAUUCUUCCAAAACAUAUAUAUAAUCACUCUCAAAACCUCACCCUAUACAACAUCUACUCUCAAUAUAAGUACAGGGUAGAGCUAAAGCAAAAGGAAGUGAAACUCUACUAAUACCACUAGGGCGCUACGCCCUUGCCGCGAUCCUCACCGGGGCCACUCGAACUCGGACCUGCAACAAAGUGGGAUGAGAACCACGAAUAGUUCCCAGUGGGUUCGGCCGCCGACUCUGCCGAUCUUCCUACUAGGUCUAAGCAGGCAAAGAUAGAUAUGCAGAUAGAUAGAUAUUUUGCUGAAUUGAAAGCAUCCAUAAUAACAGGCAAGUAUAUAAAAUGAACAUCUAACUAUGCCUCAAUCUGAAAUGAUGCAUGCAUGUGUCAUAGGGUAAAGCUAAGUACCAAACUACUAUGCCCAACAAUAAAUGUGACACAUCAGGUUACCCAAUCUCUUAGCGAACUCGAGGGUCGCUCAAAAUCUCACGUAAGUAAGUUUCAUAGGGGAGGAGCCUAGGCUCAACUACCCCCGAAACUGCCUGCGAACAGAUACGUUAGUCCAAGGGUAAAUACGUUAACCCUCCUCAGGUGACAACUCCGGAGUGCACUACCUGUGUGGAGCUACCACACCAGGCGCAGACAGGCAGGCGCCGCACGAGAAGAACUGGGCGCGGGGGACGGCGCUCUCGGUGCAACGUCCACAACUGGUGCUGGCGGUGUAGGGGCCUGAGUCUCCCUGGAAGCUGCCGCCUGCUGCAAUAGUAGGUCCUCCAGACGCUUCAUCCGCGCCUCCUGUCGGCGUGCCGCCUCGGUCUGCUGUCGGGCCGCCUCCGCCUGCUGAGUGACCAAGUCAGUGAGGGCCGCAAGCUGGCCCCUCAACUCACGGACCUCGCUGGAUCCGGAGGUAGCGGAGGUCUCGACCUCCUCGAAGUUCGCCGCAUUGUCCGGCCCGGCAGAUUGGGAGCGAGUAAUCGGCAUCGUCACUACAAAACAUAAAAGCGCAAGUUAGCAACACUUACGCUAUCGCAUCCCCGCUCAAAAGACAAACCCCAAAUCAUGCGAAAGUAAAGAAGUGUUCUUCACUACUAACUCCCGAUGUUACGUUGUCGGCCACCAACGUAACCCUCCGCGAAGUUAGGAGUUAUACACUUCAAUUUAACUCCACUUUUUAGAGUUGUUCAAGAUACCCAAUCUAGAUACUUUCGCUUACAAGUCGAAUAGAUCUCGUCUCUCACGAGCCUAUUUCCUAUAGUCCAACCGGCCUAAGGUUUGCUAGGUCCCCUAAGACUCAUCCCUAGGCUCUGAUACCAAAUUAAUCUGUCACGCCCCGGGACCCAGCGGAAGCCCGCCCGGCACGUGCCCAGACCCGCCAUACGUCUAAAACGCAUAAGGCGUCUAAAAACAACAAUAAUAAAAGCAAUAAUAAAAGACAUCUAGGCGUAUCAGAGUAUAAUAAAUGUCUAAAUACUACAGCAAGGAAUAAGGAUAAAACUGUAAAUCCAUUAAAUGAAACAUAAAGUGAUACAAGGAAAACCCAGAUACAAGUGCUAUAGGUAGAUACACAGGUGGUCUCUAUACCUGGAUACAAAAAUCUCUCACUCUCUCAACUACAAAAAGAAAGAGUAAACCAUCUAGGCAAAGUACCGCUCCUCGCUAGCUAGCUAAGCGAUCCCCUUGCCGCGAUCCCGUGCCUCCGCCGGUGCCGAAGGCUCUGAAAAGUAAACUACAAAACGAGGGCAUGAGAACUAUUAAAAAUAGUUCCCAGUGGGCAAUUACUGACUUCAGUGAAUGCACCACAAGGCUCAAAGCUACAAAAGAUGUCAGUGACUAUAAAAGUAGAAAGGCGACAGGUAAGUAAAAAUGUAACCUACUACGACAUGAUAUCUCUACUUAGCAUAAAUAGCAUAAGUAUGAAAGCAACUAUGCAUGAAGUAAAUGUCUCCAACUAUCAUGGUGUUCACAAUGUGAAAUAGUAAAAUUUCGUUGUUUACUAUUUUAAUCAAUGUCCAAGUAGUACACUAAGUCAUCAUCUGUCCACAUGUCAUAAUGGAUAUAUAAAGUCCAAUCUGAAGAGACCCACCCGAAGGCUGCCUAUGGCCCUGAGACCCACCCGUAGGCUGUCUGGCCGGUGCCGAGCCUAAUGGCCCCGUGGUAGUCAUCAUCCCCACCCUAGGAAUGAGCCUGUCCCACGGCAAUCCACUUCGGUGCCCAAUCCCGCACGACGAAUAUGAAUCGCGAUGGCCAUCUCCGGAGUGCCGGCUUGUAGGGAGCGACCCUCACAAGCAUGUGCGAAUGAGCACAAUGAUAAGUAGUCAAACGAUCUGUCGCAAGUACCAAGUCCUCAUUUCUAAUAACAUGGAAUGUGUCAAGUAUCUCAAUGGCCUAUCCCUAUGUCAUCAUGUCUCUAACAUGGAAUAUAGCAGAUAUGUAGUGGCCUAUCAAUAUGUCUCUAUAUUGCAGUUUCAUAGUUUACUAGUUUCAAGUGCCCCUUUAUGACACUCUUGCUCUCUAUGUCAAAACAUGGCAACUAUGUUCCAAGGUAUAUAUUCCAAGUCAUAAUCCUCAUAAGAGAUGUAUUUUUCACUUGCAAAAUAAACACUUUUUCCGUAUGCAUGCAUUCUACUCAUAUAGCUCUACUAUAUAGUGAAAUUUUCAUAAUACACAAGGCAUGCAUUUUAAGUGCUCUAAAAUUCAUAUAAAUCCCAUUUAGUAUAGAAAUGAACUUAAAAAUAAUUUACAACAAGUAGAAAGAGCAUAGGGGCCAUUUCGCCCCAUUUCCACGAAGCCAAACCCACCGAUGACAACGAAACUCCUUGUGCGCUCCCACGAGGGUAUCCUCUAGUCUCCUAGUACCCUAGAGGUAUAGAAACAUAUGUCAAACGGGGCAAACGAACAAAACUUAGCUUAAUCAUUAAGCUAAUCAAGCAUAGGUGAGAAAAACUCACCUCUAGUGCAAAAAUCUCCUCUAAAGCUCCAAAAUGAAGCUAGGACUCAUCGAAUCCAACCUAAUGGAAGCCUCUAAUCCACUCAAUCUAGCUUCAAAAGCCCUAGAUUCAAAAUACCCAAAAUAAACCCUAAUAUCACAAUCUAGGGUUUCAUCUCAUGAAAUCCAAUAAAACUCAAAUCUAGAGGAAGAUA